This 73760-nucleotide long non-coding RNA is filed under the name Malus domestica (apple). The record is from RNAcentral. Lineage: Eukaryota; Viridiplantae; Streptophyta; Magnoliopsida; Rosales; Rosaceae.
UUUUAGGCGCCGAUCGUCAUGACGCCUUGGCGUAUUGUGCUAGGGAGUUGUAGGGCGAACUCCAGGUGAGUGGGCAGUUUUGUUUUCCGUAUAUAUAUAUACUUGCCGUUUUCCCAGAAAUUGAAAAAGCAUGAAAUUAUGCUUUAAAUAGAAAUAUAUGUGAAAAGUAUAUAGAACUAUAUGAAAAACGUGAAUUGAAUUGCCAUGUAUGAAAUGAUAUGAAUUGAUAUAUGAUGCAUAUAUAUGAAUUGGUGCGGCGGACGCACAGGUGAGUAUCAGGUGAGUAUUUAAUUACUAUUAUGAUGAUGUUGAUGUAUAUUGAGCUCAAAUCCUGCACCAUGGUUUAGUGCUUAUAGUAUUCACCGCAUCGCACGCUCGCCUUGGAUCCAAGUAGAUGCUGGUCGCACAGUCCACGCGGAGUGGGUGCGACGGGCCAGUCGAAGAGUGUUAGUGAGAUUUCGACUGGUGGGUGACCUUAGAUUAUGUGCACAGAUGAUUGAUGAGAAAGCACUAGAGCGUAACUUGUGUGCAGAAGGCCGGACAGGUCACAGAGGUGACUCCGGUACUAUUUUGACCAUUCUAUUUAACUUGUGUUUCAUUUAUUUUAACCAUUCUAUUUAAAGUUUAUCCCAAGUAAUCUAAUUAAGACUAGAGUCGAAAGUGAUGCAUUUAGUAAUUGCUUACACUUGUGAAUAUGAGUUGAUUGAGGUGGUGGUGGUUUCUUGUAUUAAUAAUUCUAUUUAAACUCAUACCCUCCCACACCAUCAGAUCCAAGUACUAUUUUGAUAAACUUUAAAUAGAAUGGUUAAAAUAAAUGAAACACUUUUAGAAAAUAAGUGAAGAUGUUGUUUACAAAUAUAGAUGCAUUUGUAUAUAAAAGCUUUGGCGGUUGAUCCGUAUACACUUCCAGAGAUAUAAGCAAGUUCAUUGGAUUAUACAUACAUAGUUAAUGUAUUACAGUAUAAUUAAUAAGAAAACAAUUGCAUCCCUUUCAGAUUAUAUAUAUAUAUAUAUAUAUAGACACACACACGCACACAUACAUACACACAGGCCCUUUAUGCAAAGGAAUUUUCAAUUUUUUUUUUAAAUGGGGAUUAGUUGUGGGGCCCACGCUGCAUUGAACUUUAACGAUCCGAACAGUCUAUUUUGUAAUUCUCGAUUCAUAGAUCAUCCUUGUAAAAAUUCAAUUCAAUCCGAACCUAUUUGCCUAUUUAAUUAUCAAGAUAAAAUUUUAUUGUUUCUUAUAUAACAAAGUAUUCGUUAAUUUCUUUGAACUCAAUUAGAUAUCUUAAACAUUUCCGAUUUGGUUAAUAUUGUGUAAGGAUGAUCUAUGUGGUGCAACUUGAAAAAUAGACGAUUACGAUCGUUAAAGUUCGAUGUGGUGAGAACCCUACAAUUAAUCUUCAUUUUUAUAAAAGAAUGGGAACCCCUUCCCUUAAAGGUUUCCUAUGUAUAUAUUUGUUCUCCAGACAUAUGCAAAAGGUAAUGUAAAACCAAUGAGAACUUAAAUAGAUAUUCCAUACAUAGGACAAUUCCAUAUAUGCUUUUUCAACAUUGAUAUCGAAAAGCCAAAUUGUUUUGAGGAAAUUAAUUGUAGCAAUGAUCCCUUAACUUUUAUCUUAUUGGAGCAAUGGUCUCUCAACUAAAAAUUCAUGACCAUUGGUUCCUUAACUCCACACAACGUGUAGUUAUGGUCAUUUUCAUUAACCCCGUCAGAACUUUUGUUAAAACAAGUAAUGUUAGAAGAAUCAUUGCUACAAUUAGGUUAAAGUUGGGGACCAUUGCUCUAAUUAAAUUAAAAUUGAGGGAUCAUUUCUCCAAAUUGCUUAAAGUUCAAUGACCAUUUCUACAAUUUUCUCAUCUAGUUUCCCAUAUUUACCCCAUGAUUCAGCUUCACAUGCAUUGCACAUGACUCAUUUUGACAAAAAUUUUAACGAAAUUGACGAAAAUGACCAUAAAUACACGUUUUGAAUAGUUAAGAGACCAAUGGUCGUGGAUUUUAGUUGAGGGAUCAUUGCUCCAAUUUGGUUAAAGUUGAGGGACCAUUGCUACUUUUUUCUCAAAUGUUUCGUAUGCGAAAAUAGGCAUUUGUAAAGUUUGGCUUGUUCAUGGCAUUAUUACUUUAGUCUAAAGUAAGGCUGGAAAUGGCACUGUAGAAAUGAAUAGUGUUCCAAUCUGAAUUUCAGUUUAAUUACAACAAUGCCAUUGCUCUUUGUGUUGCCUUUAGGUGAGCAGCCCAGCUUGCAGCCAGGCCCAAAUGUAUUGGUUUUAGCUGAGAAGCUCGGCCCUUGGUCAUGCCCAAAAUUUUAAAUUACAGUUUUGCCCAUACAAAAUAACAAUCCGAUUGUAUCGGGAAGGACAAUUUUGUCCUUUCAGUUUUGGGUGAGAUAGGGGGUAACAGGGUAAGUUUCAUUUGCUGUCGUUGAAUGAGGGUUUCGGGGAUGAGGGCUCUGUGUGUGUGUGGGUGAGAGAGAGAGAGAGAGAGAUGGCGAUGGAAGGAGAGUGAGGGGGAAGGGAAGGGUUCUCGGCACUAUUGUUGCAUGUGGAUUUCACAAGUGGGAGAGUGGGUAUGGUCAGAGAAGACCAUAUAGGUCGUUGGGAUUUCAGGGAAACGGGGUAGGGGUCAUGAAUGAACCCUGCUGAGAGUGGGUACCGGAUCUUGCGCUGCAUGCCUCAAAUCAAAGAUAAGUUCGUUUUUUUUAUUGUAUUUUUAUGGUAGCUUAGCUUUUGGAAUUGUUUAGUAUGUUAGGUCCGAUUUUGGGGGAUUUAUCUUUUUAGAGAGAGAGAUAGACAGGGAGAUAGAGAGAGAGGGAGAGGGAGAGAGAGAGAGAGAGAGAGGAGGAAGCAUGACUGUGUGCAAUUUUUGGUGUUAAUUAAUGGGUUGGUGCGCAGGGUGAGUGACAGAGUGACAGAGUGAAGGAGGGACGUGUGGGAGGGUAUGAGUUUUCAGUUCUUUCUUUUGAUUCAACAGGUUAUACACUGUUUGAAAAACUUUUUUUUUAUUAUUUUGUUCUCGUUUGCUUUGUUCAAACCAUCAUUUGAAUUUUUGGGUUUCACUGUGCUCAUUUCUCUGCUUCUUCAUAAUUUGCUGGUGUUUGCUUCUCAUCCCUCUGUUGGUAGAUCUUUUUCUCAUUUCUUGGUUCCUUAUGUAUUCUUUUGUACAAAUCUGUUUACUUUUUUGCUGUGUGAUAAUCUUAGCAGGUGAACUAUAUGAACGUUUUUUUUGAAACGAGUUAAGAAGAUCCAGCUGAAAAUAGCAUACAAGAUAGAGAACUGGUAUGCUGCUCGCCAGGGAAAGGCUGCUGGAGAGGCCGAGACAGAUGCCUCCUUCAGAAACCAGGUCAGUUUCCUGCUGCUCGGCGUCUUAAUGUAUCCAAAUUGUUUAUCUUUUGAUGAAAUUAGCUGGCUUUAUUUUCUAUUUUAUUUAUCUGCAUAUUAUUUUGGUUUGUUGAAAUUUUGACUAUAGUCAUUGUCACAUGGGCGCCCAGCCCAACCCAAAUUAGUUGAGGAUAUUUAAAUCUUCACCAUGGUAUUAUAGUACUCACUCACAGUUGUGAAUACUAAGGUGCAGGCAUGGCAUGAAGAAGUGGACCGUGCACGCCAAUGUCAGAGGGAUGCAGAGGGCAAGCUUUUUUCUUUGGAGGUAAGUAUCCUUUGUUUAUUGCCCAACAGUGUUGUUAUUAUCAAUUUGUAGCUUUGCGUUCUGAAUUUUUUGCUUUGUCAAACAACCUUCUUGAAAUGCUCGAUUUCAAGCCGAAGUCCAAAAAAUGAGAGUUGAGAUGGCUUCCAUGAAAAGGGAUGUAGAGCAUUACUCGCGCCAAGUGAAAUCUGCUUCCUCUCUUUUCGUAUAUCUUCAUAUGAAGAGUUUUACUAAGUUAUAUUGAGAACUAUGUUAUUUAUAGGUUAUAUUUUCCAUUUUGCAGGAACACAUGGAGCUAAGGAAGAGCUAUCGUGAACUCACUGAUCUACUGGUAAUGUCACUCAAACUGCUUUAUUUGUGCAUGCUGCUACUAUGCGCUUGAAUGCAUUUUAUUACUGGCGGGAUGCAAGAAAGCUAGAUAUAUGUGCUGGAUCGCUUGAUUAGUGUUAGGGUUUUAACAACUAAUUGUUAGCAGCUAGAAGCUCUGGUUAGAUGAAUGCUAAUUUGAUUUUCCUUACAGUACUUGAGUGCCAGUUUCAUAUUGUUUGUUCCCUGCUGGAUACCUGUUGUACAGUUUCAUUUCUGUUUCUUUAUAACUUUCUUGGCCCUGGGAUAUAUGCAUAUUGAGUACAAUGAAUAUCCAUUGUUCUCUAACUGUUGGGCUUUACUAUCUUUGUAGCAGCCUGCCUAACAUUUUUUAGGCUCUACACUCUACCAUCCAAUUUAUGAAAAAUUCAAAGAUUGAACGGUAUUGAUUGCAGAAAUGAAAAAAAUACUAUGAUAUUAGAAAGGUGAAUGUAAUUGUGUUAGAAGAAGCGUCUAGCAUGAUGGGUAAUAUUUUAAGUUUGUAUUUCUAAAAUUUUUUCGUUCUGGAGUAUGAUUUACCUCAAUUGUUUUGUACUUUAAUCUUUACUAAUUUUCAUUGUGGAGUAUGAUUUGCCUCAACUAACAACUUUUCAUUGUUUAACUUUUUCCUCCCUUAGAUAGUUGCAUAUGUUUGAUUUGUUAAUCUGCUUCUUACACAUGUUGUUUCCUAAUGGUGUAGGUGGGUUGCCGGAUGCAUGUGCAGAUUACUUGAAUAGACGAAGCUAAGAAUGACUUAGUAUUAAGUGAGAAAGAAGCUUGGGUCAGUUGGAUUUUGAUAUUUGAUUUAUUCAUGUUUUUUGUUGCUUGCAAUGUUCUCGCAUUGUUGUUCUGAGAUUCUGUGAUCUUAUUUUUCAUAGGAACUGACAUUGGUUUGCCAUAUAAUGUUUCAUGAACUAAUACAACAACUAAUCACCUUGCUUAGCUCUCAAGACACAUACUUAAUAGGUUAACAAACACUAACCUAUAAACUGAUCUGCUAAGCUGGACCAUUAACCUCUGUUUAUAUCCCUGCCACUCAUCUUUUGGCACUUAUCAAUAGCAAAAUUUAGAGUUACUGAAACCCCAAUUUUAAUGAAUAUUAUUUUUAGUUGAUAAUUAAAAUUAAUUGAUGAUUAAUCUAUUCCAUUGUGCAUUAUUUUAUCGCCAAAUACUUUGAAUAUUCAUUAGCAAAAGAUAUAGGGUUCACUAUUUAAUGAAUAGAAUUUUGAUGGUGGAUUGCAUUUCCUGAGUUAUAAAUGUGGUGAAUCCAUUAUUUACUAGCUGAAUAAUCAUAAUGUUUUGGCCACUUACCUUGAAUUUUGUUCAAAUUGAAGAAGUCACAUGUUUCUUUCUGUUGUUGAGGUAAUCUCUCUGUUGAAAGCUUCUAUUUCUUUUUUCUUUUUCUCUUUUUCAUUUGGGUAGAUUUUUUUUUUAUGGAUUUAUGUAUUUUUUUUCAGAGAAUUCGAAAUGAAAUAAGAAUAGCGGAUUGAGCAUAAACAAAUUGAUGAAAUUUUUAUUUGAGUGUUUGUGUUGGUCCUUUUUUGAUUUGUUGAGGUUUGGAAUUAUUUGAGUUUUUUUUGCUGUUAGUACUGUGAAGGAUGCUUGGCAAUCGCGAAAUGGGGGCUACCUCUUUGGAAAGAGAAGUCUCGCUAUCCAACCUCUCAUGAAUUACAAACAGGGUGCUUUCUUGCUGAAAAACCACUAAACCAGUAGAACUUUCCUCGGUUCUUCAAUUCGAUUCGAAUAAUUUUUUUACCCAGAAAGCCAGCGUUUCCUGGUGGGUUUUACAGCUUUCUCAAUGUUUUUGUGAUUUUGGAUUUGCAAAUUUGUUUUCUGUUCAAAUUUCCUUUUGUGAUUUUGGAGGUUUUGUUUAUCGAUUCUCUCACUCAUCUCUCAGCUCUCUCUCACUUUUGAGGUACAUGCCGUUGGAUUCCAUUUGCUGCUGCUGAUCUGCAGGUAAAGCUUCAAUUACCAUAUAAAGUUUACAUUUUUCAUGAUUUCUUGAAUUUGGGUUUUAAACAAAGGAAAUAUUGCUAGAUUCUUAUCUUAUGUGCAAAUUACUGGCUAUUUGGAUUGAUGCUUGAGAUUUAGAGAAUGCCUCGAAGCUUUAAUUUCUUUUUCCUUCAUUAUUACUGUUUUCAAAAUUUUUAUUGCUGGGUAUUGAUAAUUUGUAGUAUGUGAGGGCUUCAAUAUGUUGGAAUUUUGAAUGGUUAUUGCUUCAUCGGAAUUUGGGUGGUCCAAAUUUUGAAUUAGAAGAAACCCAUUUGAUUAAUAUUUUUGGUGGAUUGGUUCUCUGUGUUUUCCUUGCUAUUUCUCCCCCAGUUGGAAAUUGGAAGCCCCAACUUUGAGCUCAGAGCUUGAAUUUCUCAAUCGUUCGUUUCUCUGCACUCUCAUCAGUCACUCUUGAUCCUCUAUCUAAAGAACUGGGUAAUUUUCCAGCUCUAUCAAGUAAUACUCCAUUUAAUUGCUUAAUUGAGGUUUUUUGUUUCUCUUUUUCGCUCUUUCAUCAGUUCAUUGGCUUUGAUGUUGAGCUUAAGUAAAUGGGAGAUCAUUAAUUGGCAUUGUUCAAGAUAUAAUUCUGUGUUUUUGGAUUUGUGAAACGAUUUGCCUAAUGAUGAUAGUGGUUAAAAUAAAUUUUUCGUUAUGAAAGAGAACAUUGUUCUUCAUUUGCCUAUGGUUUUAAGUACAAAGUUAAACUACUAUGCUUUUGUUCAAUUGACUGCAACUCAUGCCGCAGUUUGCUUCACAAACCUCUACGGUUAGCUUCCAUAUAGUAUGUUGCAAGUUUGAGGAUAUCUUUACAUCUUAAUUUUUGCUCUCUCUGGUUGCUUCAAGUUUGUAAUUUUACGUGUUACAUUGCUACUUGAUUUGAUUAUAAAAAUGCAAAACAAAAUCCGUUUUGCUUUUAUUCAACUUAAAUGUAUCCUUUUGUUUGUUCAUAAUUGUGUUGAAUUUAUUCAACUUAAAUGUGUUUUAUUCAUCUGUUUACGCUUAAAACAACUGGUUUCCCUAGCAAUGCGCGGGCCUAAUUUCUAGUACAUAUACUAAAAGCCAGCAGAAAAUUACUGUUCAUCAUGGGAGAUAGAGCACUGUUCAUUAACCGUGAAAGGGCGAAAAUGCCCUCGGAUUCUUCUUUACUUCACGUACUGUUUACGAAUUGCUACAGUAUAAAGUCCGUUUUGUCCUUCCUGUCCACGCAUCUUUCAUCGUCCGUUUCUCUUGCUUCGACCACAUCUUUUUUGCUUUACCUUUCCUCUUCGUUUUUCGCAUUCGUUAGGCUACGAUUUUCGGAGGUGGAUUGUUUGCCCUCCCAUUUCCAUGGUCUCCCCAUGCCCUCCCAUUUCCAUGAUCUCCCCACGUCAAUAUUUUAUAAAAAUAAUAAAUAAAAGGUAAUAAGAAUAUAAAAUGUUGACGUGUCUUAACGUGACCACAUAGGCAUUGGGAGAGCAUGGAAAUGGGAGGGCACACAAUCCACCUCCGACUUUCUCCCUUUUCGCCAGCCCCUCUUUUGCUCUCAAAUCCUUGCUCUUUCUUUUGCAAAAUAGUCUCAGAAGAGAUCCUGGGUUUAUCGAAUCCUUUGUUGUUGGGCGUUUUGUUCUCAUCUUGCGAUCGUCGGGGCAGCAGCUUUAAGGUAAGUUUGUUUUUAAUGAUUUAUCCUCAUUUUACGAUGUCUGGGCUAACAAAUUUAAGAUCUUUAUUUUUCUUUUUGCUGCGGAUCUGCAGGUUUUGACAAGUUUUUUGUGAAAUUGGUGCUGUCAGUGGGUGUUAACAUCAGGUACCCAUGUUCAGUUUUUCGUUUUGAUUUGAAGGAAUUUCUUGCGCAGAAGAGCUAGGGUUUCUUGGUGAGUUCUUCGGGUUUUUCAUAUGGGUAAUUUUCUUUUCGGUUUAACCCUCUGCUUCUGCUGCUCUCUCUCUUUCUCUCAUCCCUGCCUGCUCCUCUCCAAUUGUUUGCUGUUCUUAAAUAUUGUGUUCAUUGCCUGAUACAACGAGGCAAUGGCGUGACAACAGGUGAGCUUGGAUAUCCAAAGAAAAAGAACAGUUGGUUCAUCUGCUGGAGUCUGAAGCUCAGAGAAGUGGAGGAAAAUUGCAGGUGUGCGAGAAAUUUUAUUUUGCUGAUAGGACUCCUUAUUUACGGAUGCAUUUUGAAAUAAUUGAAAAGUUGGAUUUGAGUUAACAGCUAUAAAAAUGUAGACAUGAUUGCUGAGAUUAUGCUAUGAAAGUGGAAUAAAAAAAUGGUAGUUUAUAAUAUUGCGUACCAAUUGUUUUCUCUCUUUUUUACCAAAUGAUAAGGGUGGUGGCUCAGGCCGCCCCCCUAAGCGUCCCCACUCUUCGACAAGUUGAAAUCGUGGUGAUAGUUUAUGGGCUGUGGUCUUGGGAUUCUGCAAAUAGAAUGAAAAACAGACACUUAACUAUCUUGUUAUUAAGCAUUUCUGCAUCAUUCAGUUGCUCUUGAUUUUCGUCUUUUAAGCGAUCUUAUUUCUGCGAUCUGACUUGAGGAGGGUUUUUAGACCUAUGGUUGUGGGUGUUUUCUCUGACCCCAUUAUCCGAGAUUUGUAGACUUGCGAUCGGCGGUCAAACAUUUUGUGAUUCUUGUUUUCUCUGCCUUUCGGUCGUUAAGCGCCGGCAGUCUUUAGAUCUUUGGCAAAUCAAUUUAAUACAACCGAGGUAUGUUUUAUAACUGCUGUCUUUCAAUUUUUGUUCUGUAUUUUUGUUAAUUUGGAUGAAGCUCUAAUAAUUUUGUUUUGGAUCAGUUGUGGUCCUCUGUUAGGAUUUUCCUGGCUAAGAGGGUAUUUGCGUUUUUGUUGCUUGGUUGGUCGAUCACAGAUUUACGAACAGCUGUGGUGGUCCUGUUAUUUUUUUGGUAUGUUUUUUCUCCUUUUUGGUUUUUUCCCGGUUUGAGCACCCAUUCAUGAAGAAUUAAAAUGUGUUUAUAGUUUUUCAGGAGAGAUUAGAAAAGUGAUUUCAAUUUGGGAAAAUUUAAUGUUGGUUAAAAUUUGUUUAUAAUUUUUGGGAAGGAAUGAGAGGACCCAUUGAAGUAUGUGUUGUGAUUAUUUUUUAUUCAUAUUUUUAACAAAUUGGGCAUGAAUUGGUAGGUUAACUGUGUGUGUUUAUUAUUUGAAUCGGCCAUGUUUGUCUUUCUAUGGUUCUAAAAAAUUUGUAAAGGCUGUUAACUUGGAAGAAAAUGGGAUCGAGGGUGAGGGGAAAACGGCAGAGAAAGCAUGGAAGAGAGAUUUGGGAUUAGGGGUAGGAAAACAGAUGAAAAGAAUAUGAUAGAGGAAUGGGUUCAGUUCAUUUUCACUAUUUUUUUUAACUGAUUUGGAUUUUGUUUGGGUUUGAGGCCAUCAUUGGCGUUAAGACGUUUAUUAUCAGAUCGUGUGUUUUUUGCUAACUUUUAUUGGUAAUUUUAAUGUUGUUCUUAUGAUUUUGUGUGGUAGGGUUUCUGAAUUUUAUCGUUAUUCAUUUGGUUUUGUGUGUGUGUUGGUUUGUUUAUUUUGCAGGUUGUGUUUGUGCUGGGACAACAUUUUCCACCUUCUGUUUGCACUGGGAUGAUUGCGUUUUAAAACUGUUGGGGUGAGAUUUACAUAUGGAAUCAUUCCAUUUUUUUUCUUCCAAAUAUGUGCAUUUAGUUCUCUUUUAUUUUAAAUUUUAAAAAUUAAAUCGUUAUUUGAGUAAAAUGUUUUAUCAGUUUAUGUUAUGUGUUGUGACCAGGAAUUCUGUUGGAUUUGCGAAUUUUGGUUUGAUGAGAGAAAUGAGGAGUUUUUUUUGUUUGAAUUUUUUAUUGGACCGAUUUUCAAUUGGAUUGCAUUCUGCCUUUUUGCACCAUUCUUAUGCAAGCAAUUCAUUGUUUUAAAUACAAUUUGAAGAGAGCUGGGUUGCGGGUUGGAUAUAAAAUGUUAAGGUGAGAUAAAAUCGAGAUACCAAGGGUGGAAGAAUGAUUCAGAAUUGGGGGAGGAAAACAGAGGGAAGAUAGAAGAAUAUAAGAGAAGGAUAGGGUUGACCUCAUUUAGAGUUUUUAUUUACUUAUUUUUUUUUAUAAAUUGAUUCAGGACUUGCAUAUCAUUUCUAAAUUUCUAACAUUUUUGUUUAAUUUGACUCCAGUUGAUGGAAAACAGAGCUCUUACUCCUAUCAAUCAGAUGGUCCCGUACAUAAAUGCAGAAAAAUCAAGGUUCGAGUUUGCAGAGUAUGCAGACCAAGGUUUCCCGAAACUACUGGUGCAUAUUCAGGCUUGCAUUGUAUAUUACUUACCUAUUAAAAAUUUGUUUGGAAUUUGCUUUUCCCACAGAGGAGAAGAGCUGACAGUUACGCUGUGGGCAGAUGUUGCUCGAAGUAUUGCUUCUUUAUCCAUUGAAUCAUUGUCUCUGCCGAUCAUUGUGGUUUUCACAAGUUUAAAGGUCAAGCUGUACCUAGGUAUUUGACUUAGUUAAAAACUAAUCUAUUUACUAUUAAUUUUUCUAUUAUAUUCAAACGUUAUUUAAUAUAUACUCUACUAAUAUUUUCUUAACAUGUCACACAAACAUAUUCACUUCUUUUGAUCAAUUUUUUUACAGCAUUUCAUAUAAAAGCUAACAUUUAGUUGAAAUUGAUUAGCAACUCUUUUCUUGCAUGUAUACAUACGAAUUAAACAAUAGUAUUAAACUAUUUGUUAUCAUUCUCAGUAUUUGUUUUAGAAUUAGAUUAAUAUAUUUAACCUGUUUUAGAAUUAGAAUUAUUUGGUAUCACUCUCAGUAUUUGUUUUAGAAUUAGAAUUAGAUUAAUAUACUGAGAUUAUUUAGACAAAUCUAGCAUUUUCUCAAAAUAUUUGACUUUUAAACUUAGAUUAAUAUAUUUAGCAGUUUUUUAACAUGCAAUUUUUCAUUAAUUUUUCAACACACAGACAAGAUAGUCUUGAACACCAUUGGUUCAUCACUUUUCUUCAUUGAUCUAGAUAUUCUGGAAGUAAAUUCAUACAAAUCAGUGUAAGUGUGUUUACUUUGUUUAAAAAAAUAUUAUAUGCUCUCACAAUAAAAGAAGGGCUAUUCUCACAAAAUUUAUGAACUAAUGUUCUGUUUUAACCUCUACAGCUUUUCCAAAUGCACAGAACCUCUAAAAAUACUGCCACCUUUUACAAAACAGGCCCGUGAAGCUCAAAUCUUGCAGACAGCGAAGGUCACAAUUGCAGACGCUGAAAUUUUCAUGCCAAAAUAUGAUGUGGAGGAUGAGAAAUUGUUUGCUGUUGUUCUCUUUUCAGUUUUGCAGGCGAUGAUCUUUUACCAAAUGUCGAGGAGCUUCCAUGGGACAUGCUCUAUGCUCUCGCUUCCCAGUUGCCUCUGUUGGGGUUGGAAAAGCUACAGAUCACAAUGUAAGUCAAAAACAGUAAAGUUCCCAAGAUGUUCUGUGCUGGAGCAGAUUUAAAGGUACGAAUUUUUAAUUUUUUUGUGAAGUCGAUGUUUUGUUUUAAAAGGAGUUUAUAAUGGAUUGAUUGGACAAGUACAGCGUGUUUUGCAGAUAAAGGGCCCUAGCCAAUUUUCUAUGACCUAUAAAGCAUUAACCAAAUUGGGUUUUGUUUGUUUGGUAACAGGGGUUGUUCAGGUUAGGUUGGAGAGGUUGGAGGUGAGAAAUGCAAUUGGGAAAGAUACGCUGAGAGUUUUACAGAACACCUUUGAAGCUGUCAGUGAGGAUUCUUCUGCUAAUGUUUUGUUGAUCAGCAGUAAAGUUCCCAAGAUGUACUGUGCUGUAGCAGAUUUAAAGGUAGGAAUUUUUAAUUUUUUCGUGAAAUCAAUGUUUUGUUUUAAAAGGAGUUUAUAAUGGAUUGCAUGGACAAGUACAGAGUGUUUGUUUGUUUGGUUGAAUGUAAAAAGGAAUUGGAAGAAUGAUGAAAGUACUUGCAUUUGGUUGUAGUUGGUCAGGCACUGAAGGACCGGUCAAUACGAAGUGCAUCUGUGGGACAAUAGUUGAAAGAAGGCCAGAGCAGGAAGAGAAGGCAAGGUUUGUGAAGAAAAACAGUGAUGUGUUUAAUUAGAAGAAAUGUGCAUUUUUUUUUCCCAGUCAAAUUCUGCUUUUGUUCUGACUAUUUUCCUUACUGUAUGCUGAUUUUAUUAUUUAAUUUUUGGUUUUUCCUUGAUUGGCUUGGGAAUUACAAUCAAAUGAUGAAUCUUCAGUUUACUUGGGUAAGCAUUUUUUAACAUAUAAUUUAGCUGACCAUUUUAACUGUCAGACCAUGUUGUUUUUGGUUAUCUAAUCAUUCCAAGAUGGCAAGUUAGGAUUGGAAGGGUUGCUAGAAAUAAGGAUUAUAUCUUGGGACAUUCGGUGAGUGAUUUUUCAAACUUUCAGUUUUACAAGACAAAAUAUCUAUUUUUGUGUGUAUUCUUCAAGCAUGUUAUCAUUAUUUAGGUUGUAGGAAAAAAAGAGAGUGACUUGAGGUGUUUUUAGAUAUUUUUGUGUGUAUUCUUCACAAUGUAUUAAAAGCGCGAGGCGUGGGCGAGGCGUCUGAGGGAUAGCCCACGCCUCACGCCUUACGGGACCUAAAUUUUUUAAUAUAUACACUGAGCGUACACAUAUAUUAUAUUAAAAAAAAAUUAUUAAUCAAUAAUUACCCUGAGCGCACAUAUAUAUUAUAAAUACAUAUAUACACAUAUAUAUACAUAUAUUAUGUUAUAUAUAUAUAAAAUAGAGGAUGAAAAGCACAAUGAGCACACAUAUAACAAUGCAUGCAGACGGCACACAAUAUAGUGCAAGGAAUAGGUAUGAGGUAGUUAAAACCCUACCCAAAAUCUGGGUUUGGGAGUAAAAAUAAAAAAUAAAAAAAAAAUUGCUUGAGGCGCGUCUAGGCGGCUCCGACAACGCCUUCCGGCGCCUUCCGCCCACUCCCUCAAAACAAAGGCGGCAACCCUCAAGUCCAGCCUCACAGGGUGCCUAGGCGCACCCUGAGGUGAGCCUUUUAAAACAUUGAUUCUUCAAGCAUGCUAUCAUAAUAUUUGUAACUAUAAAAAAUAAUAUACUAUUAUACCUCUGUUUCUCUUUUCUUUGUUUUCAUGAGAAAUUAAUUGCCAUUGGCAGCACUAUAGAAAGCCAUCUUUCUCCAUUAUUCUCCGCUUCAUGCAUAAUUACAUAAUUCUACUAUCACAGUUGUCAGUCCUGAACAAUCAUGCAAGUCUAGUGGCAAAAACCACCUCAAUGAACAACUCUCACACACACACAGACACUGAUCAUACAUCUCUAACUCUCUUUUUCAAAUAACACACACUCUGAUCCAAAACAGGGUAAAUAAAAUGCACAUCCUUAUACAUUUCUAACUUUGUUUUUCGAAAUCCAAAAUAGGGUAUUCUAACUCUCUUUUUCAUUCAUUUCUUACAAACCAAUCAUACAUUUAAAAUAGGCUUUGAAUAAAAAUAGGGUAUAUAAUUAUAUACCUCAAAAUGCCUAGGAACCAACUUCCCCCUCCAACGAUUCAAAUUCUUGAAAUUGCCAACACAGUAAAUCCAUUAGUACUAUAUAAAUGAAAACACAAUUGAAACCCAUCAAACAAAACAAUCCCACAAUUUAAAUGAUUCAAUCCUACUACAAUUGAAAUUCACAGAAAGAAUGAAAAACCAGAACAAAACUGCAGCACCUAAAAAGUUGUCAUACAAAAAAACAUGGAAUGUAAAAAUAUGUUAAGAAAUCUAGUUCGUUAAUUUCCAGCUGCUAAGUGGCAUUAUGUAACUUUAGUAGUAUACUAAUUAACUACUUAUCUGGUGGGUUGCACUUUUAUCCAAUUGGUAAGGAAAGGAAAAUAAAAAUCAACCCCUUGGUCUUAGUUGUGGCUGCAAAGUGCAGGCCACCACCAAGUCUCAGUGUUUGUGUUUUAGCAAAACACUUAAAUAAAUUAAAUUCUGAAAUGUAAAUUAUAUUCCUAUAACUUUAAGAUGCACAUAUAGUAUUGUUGAAGUCGAACUGAAAGCACUGACAAUUCCAAGCAACAGAGCAGCAAUUAUUAAGAGCCAAAACUCAUUCCUAGUCUCCUCAUCCUGGUACUCAACUCCGUAAUCUUUGGUCAGCAUCAUUGACUGAAAUUAGGAGAGAAAAAGAAAAGGAAUUUCAGAAAUUGUCUAUGAAGCAAAGGAUACUGCAGUUACUUCAAGACAUGUAAAUUGCAUAUGUAUAAAGUAAUUUUCUACAUAAAGUAAUGAGGCAUAACUUUCUCUCUCCUCUUCAAACCCUAAACAGAGCAAAGCAACAAACUUUACAGAGAUUAGAAUGAGAACUGGAACUAAUCGAACAAUGACUGAAAAGUAACAUACUUGAGGAGUGAAUGAUUUAGUGUUUCCAUCAUCGGAAGCCGGAGUAAGUCGCUAAGAGAGGUCGCAAACAGCCCAAAGGGACAAACCCAGAUCCCCGGCCCCGAUCCAUACCCUUCCCCCUCAAAUCCCGACGGCCCCCAUACUUUUCUCUGACUGUACCCCCUCUCCCACUCAUGAAAUCGAGGAUCUGUAGCAAUGGUACUGAGAUCCCCACUCCUCCCUCUCCCUUUCUCUCUGUCGCUCUGUCUCCCUCUCCCUCUGUCUGUCUAUCUUUAUCCCAGAGCGGCAUGGCCUCCCAUCCCUGAAACCCUCACCGAAAGGUGGCAAUUUUGUAAAUAACUUGAAAUCCACCAACAACAGGGGCAGAGAAUUGAAACAAACAUUUAGGCUCGUUCGAUAACCAUUUAGGCCAAAACUGAGCACACCUAAACCAUUCCUACCCGUGCCAAAUGUUAGUGGGGAAGCAAGAUGAAGACUUAUUUUUCAAAACCAAAAGAAAAAAAAAAGAGAAAACAAAAUAACAAAUCUAAUGGUUGUAGUGUAAAAGCUGAGAACGUAAAUAAGAGCAGUUCCAGCCUUGUAAAUAGGCCGGGGGACAGGGGAGAAGAAAAGGCCUGAGGGCCUGUCAAGUUGCUCCAGCUAUGAGGAGCCCGAGCUCGUGGAGAAGGCCCGAGCAGGGGGUCUGUCAAUUUGUGACAGCCUCGGAGCCCGAGCUCCAAGCCCAUUUUUUAUUUUUUUCUGUCAGGCGCGUGCACCCCACUCGCGCGUGGGGGCGCGUCGCCCGACAACUUUUCAGAAAAACAGACAACUUUUCAGCCUUUCACAGUUACCGUUGGGAAGCCACGUGGCUUCCCACGGUCUGUUCGAUCUCAACGGCUCCUUCAUUUGGACCGUUGGAUCUCAAUGGUAAAAAAAAUAAAAAAAAUCUGAUUUAAUAUCAACCGUUCGAUCCGAGAUCAACGGUCGAUAUUAAUAUGCUUUAUAAAUAAAGAAAAAAUAGUUUUAAAAUUAAGAAAAGUUACCGUUGUGACACGUGGCACAAUCUGGAGUGUUGGAAUUCAAAAUUUUUUAAAUCCAACGGCAGAAAUUAAUUAUUGGAAUUUUUUUUUAAAAAUGGAAAAAAUCCGAAAAAAUUGUAAAAAAUCUGAAAUUUUUUUUGUAAAAAUUUGUUUUUACUUUUCUAUAAAUACCACUUCUUCUCUAUCUACCUUACACCACAAUUUCAUAUUUUCUCAACUACUUUCAAUCAAAUUCCUAUCUUUCUCUUAAAGUUUCAAUCCAAUUUUUUUCCACAAAAUGGCUACUGAUGCAGGUUCGAAUUGGUCGCUUCUUGAAGAUGUUGCGUUGUGCACUAGCUGGGUUCAAGUUACUCAUAAUUCCGUUACGGGUAAUGAGAUGCAGUUGCGAGAAAUGUGGAGUUUAAUUCAUACCAAAUUUGUUGAGCAAAUGAGUGGGAAAAGAACCAAAGAAUCGAUAUCGAGUCGUUGGAAAAUACUUAGCCAUUCCUUUAGUACGUGGAGAGAUGCCUUGACACAAGCUAGUAAUAAUGUUCGAAGUGGGGCAAAUUAUGCGGAUGAGGUAAGAAUAUAUUAUAAUUAUUUGUUUGUAUUAUUAUUUUGUUACCUAAUUUGAUUAUAAUUAUUUGUUUGUUUCAUUUAUUUGUUACCUAAUUUCAUUAUUAUUAUUUGUUUGCAAUAUUUAUUUGUGACCUAAUUUCAUUAUUAUUAUUUGUUUGUAUUAUUUAUUUGUUACCCAAUAAUUUCAUUAUUAUUAUUUGUUUGUAUUAUUUAUUUGUUACCUAAUAAUUUCAUUAUUAUUAUUUGUUUGUAUUAUUUAUUUGUUACCCAAUAAUUUCAUAAUUAUUAUUUGUUUGUAUUAUUUAUUUGUUACCCAAUAAUUUCAUUAUUAUUAUUUGUUUGUAUUAUUUAUUUGGUACCUAAUAAUUUCAUUAUUAUUAUUUCUUUGUAUUAUUUAUUUGUUACCUAAUAAUUUCAUUAUUAUUCAUUUGUAGCAACUUCAAGCACAAGCAUGGUAUGCUGCCAAAAUCAAAUCAAGAAACAAAUCAUUCCACCGAUGGGAAUGUUGGAAUAUUGUUAAAGAUUGUCCUAAAUUCAAAGUUGUGCCUGUUGGUCCAGAAGUAUGCAUGAACAGCAUCCCUCUACACAGCACCUUUGUAUACAGCAACCCUCCACACUCUACACCUGAUGAUGGCACUCAGGUUGAUGAAGAAGAUGUAGAUUUAUUUAAUUUCGUAAUAUAUUUAUCCUAAUAAUAGAAUCUUUAUUCAUCAAAUUGUUCACGUAUAAUGAAAUAAUGAAACACACCAAAUAAAACUAAAAAACUCACCAAUUGGAAUUACAUAAACAUACCAAAUAAAAUUACACAAACAUACCAAAUAAUAAAAAACUCACUACAAAAAACACACCAAAUUAAAUUACAUAAACACACCAAAUACAAACAAAUAUAGUAAAUAAACUUAAGUAUCUUCAGCUUGUUUCAAUGCCCACUGGUGCUCUAUCAAGUCAAUUUGCCGAUCAUUGUGUAUAGAUGACCUUUGAAGUGCAGUAUAUUGUUGAAUAACCCUUUCAUUGUAACGUCCAUCCCUUUCUAAUGGCUCGUGUUGCACGGGUUCUUCGGUGGCAUCAUGCGCACAAUAUAUCCGUGUUCUUGAAUUGUUCAUCGUGUCUGGCUCUGGCUCAUAUUCAUCAACCGCAUCAUAAUCGAACUCAUCUUCCACAAUCAUGUUGUGAAGAAUGACGCACGUCAUCAUGAUGGAUCGAAGUGACUCUACAUCGAACAUUCUGGCAGCACCCCUGACAAUCGCCCAACGAGCUUGAAGGAUACCAAAACAACGCUCCACAUCCUUCCUGCAUCCCUCUUGACAGCUUGCAAAGUGUUUUUCCUUUGCACUUCUCGGACGUGGCACUGUUUUGACAAAUGUUUCCCACUGUGGGUAAAUGCCGUCAGCUAGGUAGUAUGCCCCGUCGUACCUACGUCCGUUGACGACAUACGUGACUUGUGAUGCCUUUCCUUGGAGGACGUCGUUGAACACUAGGGAUUGGGUAAGGACGUUGAGAUCAUUUUGAGCCCGGGAACCCCGAAAAAGGCGUGCCAUAUCCAUGUAUCAAAAGAUGCCACUGCCUCCAAAAUGAUAGAUUUUGCUCAUUUUCUGUCCCCAUAUGCGCCUUGCCAUGCACUUGGACAGUUUUUCCACGUCCAGUGCAUACAAUCGAUGCUUCCUAUCAUCCCAGGAAAACCUCGCAUCUCGCCCUUCUUCAGAAGCCUUUGCAAGUCCAUGUGAGUAGGUCUUCGGAGGUACUCUGCCGUGUACAAAGAUUCGACUGCUCCGCAAAACCUCAUCAGGGCCUCAAGAAUGGUUGAUUUCCCCAUCCUCGUUAUCUCAUCCACUUGGUCUGCAGAUGCUCCAUACGCAAGCAUCCGCAACGCAGCAGUGAUUUUUUGCUCUGGCAGAAGAUCCAUAACACCACAAGCAUCCUUCUUUUGCACGAAGUAAGAAUCAUGGUUGCAAACAUCAGUCAUGAUUCUGUUGAACAAAUGUCGUUCCAUUCUAAAACGGCGUCUGAAGUACGUAUCAGGAAAUGCACUGUUAUGGACGAAGUAAUCGUCCAACAGCUCUUCACCCCGUCGUUGCCUGCUUCUAUCAAGGUUUUUUGAACGGCUGGGCCUGCAUAUCUGAGCAACAGUCUGGAUGACUCGACGAGAAUGUGAGGCUCUGGCCAUUCUUGUUUCGUCAUCUCUCUUUCUACGCUCCUCAUCUUCUUCCAUCUCAUUUCUGCCUAUAUGAAGGUUGAACAUUCCUUCAGAUUGGUUAAACAAUUCUUUCUCUUGCUGAUUGAUUUCCCACAUCAUCCUUGAUGAAGAAGAAGACAUUGUAGGAUGGAUGGUGAAGAAGAAGCAAAAUCUAUGAAUAAUGAGAUUGAGAUGUUGAGAAAAUUGGUGUGAGAUUUGUGAGGAUGGAUGGUGGAUUAUAUGGACGAUUCAGAAAGGAUCGGAUUGUAGAUAAGGCCACGUGGCAUGCCGUCAUUCGUUAAAAAUCUGAUCGAAAUCUGUCCUGAAAGAUUCUGAAAAGAUAAUGACACGUGGCACGAUCGUAUUGGAUAAAAAUCUUAUCGAAAUCCAUCUCCAAUAAUUAUCAUUUUGGAUAAUGACACGUGGCGCAAUUUUGAACGAGUUAAAAUCUGAUUGAAAUCUGUCUUGAAAGAUUCUGAAAAGAUAAUGACACGUGGCACGAUCGUAUUGGAUAAAAAUCUUAUCAAAAUCCAUCUCCAAUAAUUAUCUUUUCGGAUAAUGACACGUGGCGCAAUUUUGAACGAGUUAAAAUCUGAUCAAAAUCUAUCGUCAAAGAUUCUCAAACGAUAACGACACGUGGCACGAUGACAUUUGAUAAAAAUCUUAUCGAAAUCCAUCGUUAAAUAAUUGUUUUUUUUUAUAAAAUGAUACGUGGCGCAACGAUAACGAUUUAAAAAAUCUUAUCCGAAAUUACAAAUAAUUUUAUUUUGUAUUAUUUAAACAAACAAAAAAAACUAAUAUUUUAUUGCCUAUUGCCAGGGGGAGGGCUCCAAGGGUGGAGAUGCAAAUGGCAAUUACUGUUCAUUAAUGUCAGUUACUAUUCAUUCAAGGCAGUUACUGUUCAAUAGGGUGGAUUCAAUAGUGGAUUGCCAGGGGGAAGGUCUUCAUGGGUGGAGUUGCUCUAAACAUGCAGGGAAAAAAAUGAAGAUACAAAGUAGCUGCAUCAUGAAACACAUACUCCAAUUAGACGCAAAAAGUGAUGGUGAUGAGAAGAGAGAAAAUGUUGUCGUUUUGAUUUUUCUGGCUUUUAAAGGGAGCAGCUUUCUUCGACCACCAAAAAAAGGAAGUUGCUUUUCGUGUGGUUGUGAUUUCCUGAGUGUAUGUGAGCGGGUCUAUGGCACUUGCACUGUUUGUGUCGGUUAUGGUAACCGGGCGAGCUGGACACAGUAGCGUGGGACUGAAUUCGGAGAGGUGAGAAAAAUUAAAAACACAAAAAGAAGGUGUUCAUUUUGUCACAUUUUUAUUACUAAAAAUUCAAUAAAGUACAUUCAUUAGUAUGGUAACUUAACUAUUUAAUUCCAUCUCAUUAAACUAAAAAAAACAAUUACAAAAAAAUAAGGAAAACCUUGUCCAGAGAGACCUGAGAGAAAGUGACGACUUCUCCUCUCAUUCCACUCCAUACUUGAUCUCUAAAGUCCAUUUGGCAUGUAAUUGAUGUUCAAUUUCAAAUAAAGUGGUGGCAAUUAGCAAAGCUAAUGAAAGAAUCAAAUAAAAUGAAAGAAAAAGCAUCAUGAAAUAAAUCAAGAUGAAGAAUGAAAUUUUGGCAACUCGCCAUUCUCUUCUUUUAUAUAAAAGAUACAUCCUAUUUGUAGUGAAAACAGGUCCCGACAAACCCAGUUAUCCUCAAGAAGUAUUUUGUAUGACUUUAAAAACAUAAUCCGUGAAAUUAUCUCUUGGCAGAGAACAACAACAAAUCUUCAUGCAUAGCUUGUAGAGAAAGACAUCAGGCAUACAAAAGAACAGGCAAGCAUAAAAUAAACGAUGCAUGGAAAACCAAAAAUACAAUUGAAUAUGCUGUCAAAAGAACAUGAAUAAAUGAAAAUUACAAAACAAAGAAGUGAUGGGAAACCAAAGUAUUCAUAAUCUAAUUGCUUUUUAGUUUGCUUGCCAUUUUUAGUUCUUCAAUUUAGAGAGAAACCAUAAUUCAGCACAUGAAUAAAGUGAAAACGUAAAAGAUACGUGGGAUAAGCUGACAGCCAUCCCUGAGUAAUGCAUUCACUUUUGAACCCCAAACACACCGAAACAAAAAUUCACACACAUGAACUACAGCUCCGCUAUGUAACAAGAAUUAAAAGCAUCUCAAAACAAAAUGGCAAACUAUAAGAGCAUUGUAAAAGUAAAAUUGCAUCUAAUACUUGGAGGGCAAGUACUAAUCAGACGAAAAUGAAAGAUUGAACUACCUCACGUGGAACUGUGCCUUGGUUUUUUCCCAUGCUUACAAGAAGCUUUGCACUGAGCUCUUAUAGCCCAAAUUUUCUCUGAAGGAAAAAAAACACAAUUUUGGAAUAAGAUUUUCAUAUUAUACCUUAAAGAGAAGAAUUAGACAACAAAAAAGAGAACAAUGAGUACUAUUCAUCAUAUAUUGUUAAGAGUAUGUGGUCUUCUAGUCCAAUGGUCCUGCAGUCAUAUUUACUUUAUAACUCUUUCUUUUAGUCUAAAAAAACAUCUUGGAUCUCAAAUUAUUAUGAAUACGGAUUCAUACUUUAUAACUAAAGAUCUUACUGCUCUUGAUAAGAUGAACAAUACGCCAUUUAUCGCAUGCAUUGCAUUACAAUCACAAUGCAACAUCUCAUUAGAAAUCCCCACACAAAGCAGCUCCACUCAUUGUGGUCCUUGCAAACCGAAUUGGCCCAACGAUCAGCGAGAGAAAGGAGACGGCGGCGAGAUGAGGGAUAUGAUGGAUGCGAGAUCGUCUGUAUCGUUAUCGCGGGGGGUCUGCAAGACGGACGAGGAAAGUAGGGUUUGAGAAGGCAUUGUCUUCUCGCGGGGUAUGUGUCCUUCCUAUUCCACGAUUAUCAACACGUGUGCAUCAGGAGGAGCGGCAGAGAGAGGCAUUGUUGUAAAUAAAGUGAAAUCGAAGGGUAAGGGCCCAUUCUUUAAGGUAAUGGCAUGGCCAUAAAUAGAAUGAAAUCCAGAUCAAAACACUGUCAUUUGUACAGUACAAUUUCUCCAUCUUCUUCAGACUAAAGUAAUGUAUAUGUUAUACGCACCAACACAAGUCCUUCUUAGAUAAAUCCAAGCCAAACAAUUACAAACGACAGUUAUUCACAAGAAAAUCACUUUAAAGCAAGAAUUUAAUUAAUAAUACAUUACUACACUUUCUUAACAAUUUGACGGUCACCUAGCUAACAAUGAACACGUUAGCUAUGCGUUAGAACAUAUUGGGUUCAAUCCAUAGUCUUGAAUAUCACCCCGAGUCACAACUGUCUCUUGGGGCAUACAGAAGGCCUGAGAGGCAUUUGCAGACAUUCAAUCUCUCCUCCAAGCAUUUCGACAACUUUGGAAAUCGAAAGGCGAUCACUUGGUUUCAUUUGAAUACACCACAAGGCGGUUAUAACCAUCUUUCUUAUCACUUUCUUUUCCUCCUCUGUAACAUUGUCUAUUUCCAAGUCAUUUCCCACAAUAUACUGAUCAUAUACCCACAUCGGGAAGUAGAUUUGGCUUGGAUGCUCUACCGUUGCAUUCAAAUUCUUCCUUCUGCUUGCCAUUUCCAUCAACAACAUUCCAAAACUAUAGACAUCGGCCUUGUAUGAGACACCUCCAAUAUUUUUGUAGAACAACUUAGGAGCAAUAUAUCCCAUUGUACCCGUGUUGCCGUCAAAGAGACAAUGAGAAAACUCUUGAGUUCUUCAGAAACCACGAGAAACUUAAAACUGAGAAAGCUUCGUGAUCUCCCUUCCAUCUCUGCUACGCAAUCUCUGCUUCCUCCGUGAUUUCUUCCUUCCUGAUCGACAUCUAUUCGAAUUGAAAACCUUCUGGAGCUCACUACCCCCUUUGUCAGCAGUAAUUAGGGGUGGGUUCAAAAAACCGAAAACCGAAAAAAAUCGACAACCGAACCGAACCGAGGCCGAAAAAAACCGAACCGAAAAAAAACCGAACCGAAACUGUCAAACCGAACCGAACCGAAUCUGACCGGUUCGGUUUCGGUUUUUGAGGUUCAAAAACUGAACCGAACCGAACCGAACCGAUAUAUAUAUAUUUAAUUUUUUUUUCAAUAUUAUAAAUAGUUUAGGCAUACAAUCAUAACAAAACAGAACUUGUUGCCAAGUUGGUUUAAGCGAAAUUUUUCACACUGGUGGCAAUGGGUUCGAACCCUCAUGCCUUUAGGAUUUAUGAGAUUGUUUUUUAAUUUUGUUGAGAAAUCAACAAAAUCCUUUAACCCUAACUUUUUUAUUUUUCAUUCCCCUCUUCUCUCUCUUGUUCCCUGCCUCCAGUCCAAACUCCCUCCAUGAACCCUAACCCAGUAACCCUCUCGCGCCGCCUGAGCUUCCUGUCUCUCUCGCUCGGUCUUCAAUCGCUCUGUCUCUCUCAAUCUCUCAGGCAACCCGCGACAGUGCGACCCUUCUCACUCUCAAUCUCUCACACCUCGCCCUCUCCAUCAGUCUCUCAUCUCGCCGUUUCGAGUCUCGAUAGCAAAAGGUUAGCCUCCUCUCUCUCUCUCUCGGUCUUCAACUUCAAUCACUCUCUGUCUCUCUCAAACUCUCUGUCUCUCUCGGUCUUGAAUCUCAGGCGACCCACGACGGGGCGACCCAUCUCACUCUCAAUCUCUCACACCUCGCCCUCGCCGUCAGUCCUUCAUCUCGCCGUGAGCUUCUUCUUGCCGUUUCGAGUCUCGACUGCAAAAGGUUAGUCUCGCCGUGAGCUUCUUCUUGUUCGUUCGCAGACGGAAGCUCUCUACUCCAAACUCUACGAAAAGUACACAAAAAUCAAGGUGUUCUGUGUUCUUUCCCACUUCUUUACAAUUUUUUUUGCUCAUUCAUUUUUUUUUGCUUAAUCAGUUAAUUGUAUGUUAAAUUUGCUCAGGGGAGAAAUUUGAGGUUAGGGAAAUAGAAAGUAAUUGUCUUUUUUUGUACUUUUGAAUUUUUUUUGCUCAUUCAUUUUUAAUUGCAUGCUAAAUUUGAGUUGGGAACUUUUGCUUACUUGUUACCCAGUUGGAUUUUUUUGAGCUACUUUUGCAGUUUCUUUCUUCGUCUUAAUUUGGGAACAAUUUGAUCAUGUUUGACUUAUCAUUUUGUUAUUGGAGGAAAUCAGCAGCUUUAUGGUUUGGCAAGGUGUAGUGACGAUAGAUAGCCUACUUUUAUGUAUAAUUUGAAAGAGGAUGGAGAUAAGUAUAUUUCUCUGGGAAUCAGAGCUUCCAUGAUAUGUGAUUACCUGUUAUCUUUGAAUUUCUCUUCCGACUCUUGUAUUUCCUUAAGUGAAACUAUGGCCCUGCAAAUUUGACAUGUUGUUGAAGGUUGUAAAUCAUAUGUUGUUCUUUUAGUGGUAAAAAUCUUGUUAAACAUGUAUUUUCAUUUAGGUUAUGGACUCUUGGACAUGCUAAGUCAUGAUGGAAAAGACCAAAGAUUCAUUGGUAACGUGUUCUGAAAAGUAGCAUAGGCAUUGCAAUUCUCUGAGUAGCGUUUUAUUAUGGAUAACGUUUUUGGUGCUGAAGGAAGAUUUCCAUCAAACCUAGCAUCAAUAGAGCAUAUUGUUUCUUGACUACAUUAUGUAUGAGUAUUAGAGUUUAAAUUGUAAACGGAUCUGGACAAUAUAUGAAGUUGGUAUUGAUUUCUCUCAGAGAACAAAUAGAAUUGAACAUCCAGGCUUGUUCUUGUUGACAUGAUUUAUAUAAGAUAUACUUAUAUCACUUUAGAGAAAACUGGUUAUAUGCAUCUGUAUUGUCUCAAAUUAAUUUUAGGCUUCCCUUCAAAGCGUUCUUUUUGUCCAUCCAUCUGGGUGGUGUUCAAUUUUAGAUUAUCCUUUGAAUACUAGACGUCCAGAUAAUGGCUUUGUGGUCCUUCAAAUAAAUUACUGAUAAUGUUCAUGCAGUUGAUGGUGAAACAGGUAUGGUAAUUAAACGACUUCAUGUUUAGGAAUGAUAGGCUUGUACUUUGUAUUUUAAAGAUGUGUGCAUUUUUCAUAUAAAUUUUGUUCAUUGUGUUAGAAUGCUUAUAUUAUAAUUGUGUUGGAGAUGUUAAAAUUUUAGAUUUCAAUUUUGUUUUCAUUUUUCCCAAAAAAAAAAAAAACCGAAAAAAACCGAAACCGAAAAAAACCGAAAAAAAAAAUGGACCGAACCGAACCGAACCGUUUUGAACCGAACCCAGCUCUAGCAGUAAUAAUUUGUUUUUGCAGCUUUAUGUGUCUCUGUCUCCAAAUAUGAUGAUCUCUUAAUUUGCUUCUAUAGCUUUUGUAAUAUGAUGAUCUCUUAAUUUGCUUUUGCAUAUCUUCUUUGCUUCUUCUGCUAGCUCUAUAUGAGAUUCCAUCUCCAAAUAAUUGUUCCCUAUUUCCUAUUUUUACAGGAAGCAAAUCAUUGAAUACACAUGGAAAAUUAAAAUGGUUUCAGUUUUUGGUUAGUUUAAAUUUUUUGUUGGUUAUUGCUUGUAUUGUGAAAUCUCGUUCCCGGAUUUCACUGUUAUAAUGUACGUGUUUGUAUUCUCGAGAAUUUAUAUUAAGUUAUUUGAAGUUAUACUUUAAUUAAACUAGUUACGAAGGUUAGAGUUUGGAAAUUAAUUAUUUAAAAUUCGUAAACCGUCCGAGGUCACAAUUUAUAUCUGUGGAUAGAGCUAGGGGUGGGCAAACGGGUCUAGGAACCGCGGGGCGGGUCGGGUCUAGCCGGUUCGGGGCGGGUACAAGUUUUGUAAACUCAAAACGGGGCGGGUCGAGGCGGGUCCAUGUAAUUGGCGGGGCGGGGCGGGUCUAAAUUUCUGAAAAACCGGGUACCCAGGCCCGGACCGUUUCCACCGUCCAUAUACGAAGAUUAAAUCUCUACCAUUCAUUACUACCACUCUUUCUCUUAGUCGCUGACUCUCGCCUCCUCUCUCGACUUUUCCAGGAUCCAUCCUCUCUCAAGAUGGACUCAGCGCCUACUCCACCGCUCACUCCUCCUCUCGUUGAAGCCACGGCGGUCUUCAUCGGUGCUACCCCUGCCCCAUAUUCUCUCAGAUCAGAGUCGUCACUCCCCUCUCCCACUCGAGUCGAGGCCUCUUGUGAACACCACCACCGCCGUCGAAACCUCCUCCAUGAAAGACACCUUCUCCAAAUAUUCUGAUUACCUCAACAAUCUCGUAAUCCCUAAUUUAAUCUUCACCAAUUUGCAGCUCUGUGAGCGACUCGAAGGUUUGUAGAAUGACAAGCGGGAAAGGGUUGUAAAAGCAAGUCGCGAUAUCACCAUUAAUAGCAAAAAGGUCAUCUUUAAGGUUCACAGGUAAGAAAGCUGCGACCUUUUGCUUCAAAUUUUGUUUCUGUUUUUUGGGUUUUUGAUUUUGGAUUUUGGUUUUUUUUUUUAUAAUAAUUUUAUUUAUAUCAUCAUUGAAAUGAUGUUGCUGUGGAAUUUGAACUUGAACAGAAUCAAUAAACACAACAAAGAGGAAGUUCUGCAGAAAGCUGAAAAGGAUUUAGUAGCUGUGAGUCUGCGACAGAUCAGUACAUUUCCCAGCUUGUUAGAGAGAUGCAGGCUAAGUUUUUUUCUUUUAUUACUGUUACUCUGGGAUUCUUUGAGAAAACUUGAAGCUUGAAUUGUUUUUGUUUUCUGGGUGAUUUGGAAAAUGGGCGAAAAAAAAAACAAGGACCCGUGUACCCGGCCCAAACCGGCCCGUUUGAAAAGGGUCGGGUUAGGUCCGGUUUCUAUUUUAAAAUUUGUUGCACCCGGCCCGCUCCGGCCCGUUUCUUUUACACCCGGGUCCGGUCCGGUCCCUUCAAAAUUGGGCCCGGCCCGGCCCGUGCCCAGCCCUAGAUAGAGCUCGAUCUCACGAACGCGUAGGCGCAAAUCGUUCAUGAAACAGAUCUAUAACGAAGAAGUUAUAGACGUUUUAGUUGUUGGAAAAUAAAUAAUUAAAUGUUUAGAAGCUGCCAAGUGGCAGCAAGGGAGAGGGGAGAAAGGAGAGAGUGCGGGAGAGAAAAGAGGGGGACACCCAAUAAGAAAGGAGAAAGGAGGGAAAUGAGAGAAAAGAAAAAAAAAAAGGGAAGAAAAGGGAGAAACGGGUUCGUACGACCCGUGGGUAUUGCCGGCCACCCAUCUCCAUUUGCCGACGAUUUUCCGACGAAUUUCUUCAAACAACCACUUGGAAACACUCCCUUGUCCUUCCCUCUACAUGUUUCACCCUAAAAAUAAAAGGUUUUGGACUUGAAUAGGGAGAAACCGCACUAAGGGUGUAGCGGGUGUGUGUGUCAAAUCUCCCAAAUCCAAAAUGUUUACACCCAACGACCACCAUCAAAAGACUUUCCUUAAGCCCCUGAACAAAGCCCAGGCAGUGGUGGAGACGUCGGAGCAAGUUUAGAGGUCGAAUUGGAGCACACCCAAUUCUAGGGUUCUUACGGGUUUUAGAGAAAUUGGAAUACUUCUUGAUCAAAUUAGCCUUGGUCACAGGUAUAAAGUUUACUCUACUCAUUGAGAUCUUUAUUUCUGUAAUUUUUGGUAAUUUUUAAAAAUAGUUGAAUUUUUCCGGCAAAUCGGGGCGGCCGACCGCCACCCGCUGCGGCGCGUGCGGCGGCGGCCUGGCCAGCGAGCCAACGAUGUCCUUUUAAGUUCAAUUAGAUGCCCUGAUUUCAUAACUGACAUCCUUAUGUUAUGGUUUGAUUGUUUAAACCUAAUUUCAUUACGAUAUGUGGGUAGGUCAAAAUGUGAUUCGACGAUCCGACCGUUGGAUCGUCACCAAACUUUAAUGCGUCAUAGAAUGUAAUAUUUGAGGAUGGUUGGAACUAACGGAUUGGGAAUCUGAUGUAUGGAACUUCCUGAUUUGGAUUUCUAAGUUUGUAAAUCAAACAUUGGUCACCACUUGAAAUUGUAAAAUCAAACAUUGCAUAUAAGCAUGCUAGAGCCUUUAAUUGUUAAUUACAUGUAUAUGUGUUGCUAAAAUGAACUUAGUUUAUCAAAUUUUUAUUUCAAUAUCAACUUCUAUGGCAUGCGUGGUGUCUCAUGUCAAUCACACAAAUGUUAUGUAAAAAGAAUAUACACGUUGUGUUGCAUGAUUGACAAUUAACGACACAUAGUGUUAUAACCGUGUCAAUGUUAUGAAGGUUUUUAUGCAAAGUCACUUGAUAUGCCGCAACAAUUAGUAAACAAUAUUAGAAAGACCUAGAGGAACCCACAAUUAAUUCCGAUUCAAUAAGUAGGUCAUGUGCAAGCAAGGCAUGGGCUUCCCAUGGGUAGGAGCUGGAAUUUACCCAUAUUUGGUAGUUAUGUACCAUAUGUUUACCCGCAUGACGCUGAGUGUAAUCCUUCUUAAGGUUCAACAAUAUUGUUUCUAUUAACAAAUAUAAAUAAAAAAUAAGCAAAAUACUAGAGAGAUUACACGUUUAUAUUACAUUGUUGUACCAUAUUGUGAUAUGGCUGUGUACAUACCAUGUCUUGUAAUGAGUUUAUCUCAUUAGAUGUUAGACUGUUAAUUAUAUGUAUCACUUGUCAUAUCAUACAAUACAUCAAUAUGAUAUAAAUAUGCCAUCUCUCAAACAUUACUCUUAUCAGAAACCCCAAAAAAUAGGAAAUGCUCUAUACUAAAGCGGAAUGAGAAAAACAUUGUUCAUAGGCAACAGUAUUUUUACUUUUUUGCCCUCAUUUUUAAUGUUUCUGUGUUCCUACUUUUAUGCCUCUAUACGGUGAAAUCGCCAAUUGACCUAUGGGCAUGGGUGUGUAUAAAAAUUGUUUUGCACACGUGGCGUGCUAGGGAGAUUUCUCUGCAGCACUGCUUCAUUAACUGUUUCAUUUCUCUGCACCGUUUCCUUCUAGCUCCACUCCGAAUUGAUACCGAAUACUGGUCAACCAAAUUUUCUCAUCAUUUCGUUCCGUCCUUCUCCACAUCUUCAUUCUUGCUCCACCAUGAAUCGAAACAAAAAAUUGCUCAUCCAAAUUGUUUGGUAUCAGCCGCUCCAAGGAGACAAAUUGCUGAGAAAAGUAAAGAAUUCAGAUAAAAAGUGAAAUUGUUCAUUCAUAACCUUUAGGGAAAUACAGAUGGGUUCUUUAUACCCCAUUUCAGCUACUACAGACAAAAGGUUAGGUAACCCCAAGUGCUGAGUCACCAUAUUCUAAUAUUCCAUUACAAUGCAAAGGAAAUAACUUAAGGGAAUGAGCUAAAGCAUAUCAAGGUCCUAACACAAGUCAAUUUCAGUUAACUCAAAUCCCUAAAACCCAAUUUUCUCCAGAUCGUUGGAUUUAGUUUGCUGUUGUUGUUGCUAAUCUACAGGUAAAGCUUAAAUUUACAUACAAUUUUUUAUUUUUCUUGAUUGGAAUUUGGAAAGAAUUAGUUGUUCUUGGAAAGAAUUACAGAAAAUUGGAAAAGGGAAAUGGGAAAGCGAGGAAAUGCAAGAAAAUGUGUUUGGAAAAUGGAAAAUGACUUUUCUUUGGCAUUCGCUUUGACUUUCAUCCUUUCUGCGUUUGCUUUUCCUCAUUUUUUUUCUCAAGAACCAAACAUAAAAUAAAUAAAUAAACCUAUAAAAAAAAGAAAAGGAAAAUCACAAGAUUAAGAACCUGGGAAUGCAACAAUCGAGCUUCUGUGCCGAAAUAUCAAUUGGGUCCCGUUGGAUCUUCGGUGCUUCUUCUGCAUUCAAAAAGUUGGGGUAUUUCUGCAUCAUUUUUGUGUGUAUUUUUAAAUUCCAGAAGAAAGUGGAUAGAGAGAGAGGAAUAUGCUUUGGGUCGAAAUGGGAACACAAUUCCAAAUUCGCCCUCAAUCCCAAAGUUCAGUAAUUUAUGCAAUUUUUGUCGAAAUUGAUAUUCUUUAUUGCUGAUAUUUGUUAAAAAAGAGGGGGAUAAGAGCAGUAAAAAGAAUCUACAGAAAAUAUUUGUUUUGGAAGAGUAUGUCUUGAUUGGAUAAAACUCGCACCAGAGGGCGAGCGCAUCUGCUAGUAUGCAUUUAAACUUAUAAGGCUAAAUCCUUUAGGGGCGUUUGUUUGCCCUCCUUAACUCUCAUUGGACUGGACUAGAUUAAGGGUUAGUCCAAUCCCGUGUUUGGUACCCGCUAAAACUAACUUUAAUGAGACUAAAGGGGAUUCGCUCCGACUAUCUCCCUCGCUAGGAGGUCUUAGCGAGAGCGCCCUGUGACUAUGGGACUGCUAAGCCCUUCGGCUGGUAUGUCCUCAUCUCCUCUCAUCCACUCUUCUUUCUCUGUUUUCUUGAGCACCGACAGCCACCAUCACACCACCACUCCCAACUUCAGCGAGAUACACUGCUAGCCCAACACCACUCUCUCGAGAUCCAAGGAAAGCAAGCAUCAUUUGGCAAUUUUUGGUAGAAUUGCAGGGGAAGAAGAAACGAAAUGAAAAGGCUUGAAUUUGUUACAGGCCAUUGAUGGACAAGAUUUUUUUUUUGGGAAAUCGAUGAUCAGGGAUUUUUUUUUGGAGAAAUCUGGAGAUCAUGCAGCUUAUGGAACUCUCUAGAUAGAUUAAAACUCACAUAACCAAUAUGGGCAAUAAUUCAUACCUGAGAUAGAGUUUGAGAGAGCUUAAGCUCUCUGCGUUAAUGGCAGAGCGCCCGAUGGUGCAUCGAUGAUACGUACAACGCCGUAGGUGGAUUCCCCAUGUCCCAAGGGUUCGAGGUUUAGAUUUUUUAGGGUUGAUUUGGUCAGCAUCAAGAGAAAUGGUGGGGGUUCCUUCUCGGAGAUUAGAGAGAGAAAGGUUGUAGAUUAUUGUUGAGGAGAGAGAGAGAGAGAGAGAGAGAGAAAAGUGCAGAGAAAGAAAGAGAGAAUGAAAGAGGGGUCACGGGGUGAGGGACCGUAAGAGCAAGUCCACCCAUGCCAAUCGGCCGGGGGACGGGCUACAGCAAAGGGCCCGAGGGCCAGUCAAUUCAUCUCCAGCCAUGGAGGGCCCGAGUGAGGGUGGGAGCCCGAGGGCCGGGGGGGUGGGUAAUUGACAGGCCUGUGGCCCGAGGCCCGUGACGUCAGGCCUGGGUCCAGGCUAUUUUUUUAUAUUUUUUUUGUGUCAGGCGCGUGCCCCUCACUCGCGAGUGGGGGCGCGUCGCCCGACAAGAAAUCAGACAAGUGGGGUUUUCGGCCAGUUACCGUUGGGAAGCCACGUGGCUUCCCACGGUCCGUUCGAUCCCAACGGCUCUUUAAUACGAGCCGUCCGAUUUGCAACGGUAAUAAAAAAAAAACUGAUUUUAUAUCAACCGUUCGAUCUAAGAUCAACGGUUGAUAUUAAUCUGCUUUAUAAAUUAAAAAAAAAUAGUUUUAAAAUUAAGAAAAGUUACCGUUGUGACACGUGGCACAAUCUGGAGUGUUGGAAUUCAAAUUUUUUUAAAUCCAACGGUAGAAAUUAAUUAUUGGAAAAAAAAAUUUAAAAAAAAUGGAAAAAAUCCAAAAAAAUUGUAAAAAAUCUGAAAAAAAAAAUUGUAAAAAAUUGUUUUUACUUUUCUAUAAAUACCACUUCUUCUCUAUCUAUCUUACACCACAAUUUCAUAUUUUCUCAACUACUUUCAAUCAAAUUCCUAUCUUUCUCUCAAAGUUUCAAUCCAAUUUUUUUCCACAAAAUGGCUACUGAUGCAGGUUCGAAUUGGUCGCUUCUUGAAGAUGUUGCGUUGUGCACUAGCUGGGUUGAAGUUACUCAUAAUUCCGUUACGGGUAAUGAGAUGCAGUUGCGAGAAAUGUGGAGUUUAAUUCAUACCAAAUUUGUUGAGCAAAUUGGUGGGAAAAGAACCAAAGAAUCGAUAUCGAGUCGUUGGAAAAUACUUAGCCAUUCCUUUAGUACGUGGAGAGAUGCCUUGACACAAGCUAGUAAUAAUGUUCGAAGUUGGGCAAAUUAUGCGGAUGAGGUAAGAAUAUAUUAUAAUUAUUUGUUUGUAUUAUUAUUUUGUUACCUAAUUUGAUUAUAAUUAUUUGUUUGUUUCAUUUAUUUGUUACCUAAUUUCAUUAUUAUUAUUUGUUUGCAAUAUUUAUUUGUGACCUAAUUUCAUUAUUAUUAUUUGUUUGUAUUAUUUAUUUGUUACCCAAUAAUUUCAUUAUUAUUAUUUGUUUGUAUUAUUUAUUUGUUACCUAAUAUAAUUUCAUUAUUAUUAUUAUUUGUUUGUAUUAUUUAUUGUUACCCCAAUAAUUUCAUUAUUAUUAUUUGUUUGUAUUAUUUAUUUGUUACCUAAUAAUUUCAUUAUUAUUAUUUGUGGUAGAUUAUUUGUUAUAUAAUAUUUAUUUGUUAUUAUAAUUUCAUUAUUAUUAUUUCUUUCUAUUAUUCAUUUAUUAUUAUUAAUUUUUAUUAUAUUUAUUUUUCCUUACAUAAUUUCUUAAUUUAUUAUUUUGUUAUUUCUUUAUUAUUGUUAUUCCAUAUUAUUUCAUAAUUAAUUUCAUUCAUAUUAUUUAUCUUCCUAGAUAAAUUCAAUAUUUGUCUUUUGUAUAAAUUUCAAAGAGAAUUAUGUUGCAUGAAGUAUGGCCAUGCAUGUUAGUGUCCCAAAAUUCAAGCAAUGGCAUGUUGGAAGUCAUGCCAUUGAAAGCCCGUUACACCCAGGUUGCAUUGAACAGCACCCUCCCAGCACAUUUUGUACACAGCAACCCUCUCCACACUCUACACCCUGAUGGACCUGAUGAAGAAGAUGUAAAGAAGUGCCUGAAACACCCAUUCCUGAACAAGCGUCAAGCGUCGGGGUCGACCGUUUCAUUAAUUAGGCUCAAGGUAAGAAGGCUUCAAAGAGGAAAGGGAGUGCUUCCAUGAAUUAUUUACAUGAAUUUUGAUCAUUGGCUAUUUGACGUUGAAUAAUGACGGCGGGAUUUAUAGAGAUUUGAGCAAAAGAAUUGAGGCAGAAGAAGGCAAGAAUUGCAAAUUUUGAGCAAACAGAACAGAACACAAGAUUGCUACUUAGAACAGGGAAAGGCAAGAGCUACUUAGAGAAGAAACCUUAGAAGAAGAAAAAGAUGAACAAGAGAUCGUCAAUUUGAACACGCGUUUAGGAAGGUGAAUUGACGUUGGCACGGGAUUUGGCGAAAUAUGAGGCUGAAAAGGCUAGAGAAGAGGCAAAAGCUGCAGCUACUGAACAAACAUUUCAAGUUGAACAGAGGGAAAGAGAGCUACUUAGGCAAGAAAGGGAGUUGCUUAGAGAAGAAAGAAAUGCACAACGAGAUCGUGACAUUAUGAACACGCGUUUAGAAGGGAUGUCUCCAAAUUCUAAAUAUUUUUGGAAGUCGGAGAAAGCGGAUGUGGUGCGAAGGAGGCGUGUAAGAGAAGCGAGAUCAAGACAAGAUGGUCCUAGCACAACAAGACAAGAUGAUCCUAGCACCACAAAUUGGUUAAGUGAUGAUGAAUAGGGUACUUUUUGUAAUCGGACCCCAUAGUUUUCCGAUCACUUUGGGUUGUAAUUUAUUAUUUAUGUUGUUUCCAAUUUAUUGAAGUUAGUACUUUAUUUAACGUGAGAGUACAUUUAUUUAAUUUCGUAAUAUAUUUAAAAUUAAACUACAGUCAAUGACGUGUCCAGAUGCGUGUCCAUAGGCAAGACACGAGUACAGACGUGGCAAGAGACGAGGGUUGUACAACCAUGAGCUUGUGUCCGUGGCAAGGACAACAAAGGCUUGGGGCUUAGGAUGGCAGAGGAAAUACCACGGCAAGCUAGAGCCACCGACACAUCGUCGUUGCCGCCAAACUUACGUAAAAUCGUUAGCACAAAAAGCCGCCAAGGGUUUCCGCUCACUGGGAAAAAGAUAAGAUUUGUGAACGCCAAGACCACAUGGGUCACAACAUAGCAAAAUUGAAAUCUUUGUCAUCCUCAGCAUUAUCCGACCGCUAUCCACAAAUUGAAGCAACGAAUUGGGCAAGUGUGCAACAAAUUUCCAAUGUGCUUCUAUUGUGAAUGAUUUACAGGGAUUGGGUUGAAUGAGGUUUGUAGUUAAAGUGGGAUGCAAUUUAGAACACCAACGUUUGAUUAUGUUUCUCUCAUUUUUUUCUGUUCACUUUUGCCUCAUUUGUUUUUUUUGUUGCAUCGUCUCAAAAACCUUGUGCGUCUACAUGUACAUGUAUAAGUAUAAAUUUUGGUUAAAACAAAAAGUCACAUAUUUCAUAAUUAACUAUUUAAAUUUGUUGCAAAUCACAGUAUAUCUUUGUUCAUACAUUCAAACAAGCAUGACAAAUACUGAGGAAGAAAAUGAAAAUUAUUGUCACUACAAUUGUAUAUAUUUUUUUCUUUUUGAACAAACGAUAUUAUCUACACUAAGGGGGUGAGGGAGUGGCCUAAGCCUAACAAUGAGCUAGCAAUAAUAUAGUUCAAUUUGCCUUUGAUGAGAAUCGAACAUAAGACAUUUCACUUACAAGUGAAGAGAAAUAUCCUAGACCCUAACUGGAUAUGUUAUUGUCAUGGUCAUGCAUUGGUAUAGUAACAAUAUGUUUGGAUAAGGACAAUAAACUUAUAAUUUUGCCAAAAGUCAGAAUUUUUAAAUUGACACAAUCAAUUCCUUUGUUUGGAUUCAUAAAUAUAGAAAUUUAGACUUUCCGCGUGAGAAAAAACUUGGAAUUUGGUACCUUCAAUUCUCAUGUUUAAAUUUCAUGUAAAUAUGUGUCAUUUAUAAAUUUCAGUAAGUGAGAGUUUAAAAAUAACAAACAUGUAUUCAAAUUUCAUUCAUCCUUUAGGUUAACCAAACAAGAAAAUUUAUAAAUUCUAGAAAAUAAAAUUUCGUUAUUUCAUUUCUGUUAUUUUAAAAUUUUUAGGGCAUGUUUGGUACUCUACUUGAAUCUAACUUUUUAAACUCAAAAACAAUUUUCAAGUUUUAGGCCUUAAAAACUUGUUUGGUAGAACUAUUUUAAAAAACUGAACUUAAAACUAACUAAAAAAUAUAAUCUAUUAUCUAAAAACACAAAAAAUGAGUUUUUAGAAUUUGUAAACUUAAACUCACUCCUUUCUUUUCUCUCCCUGCUCCCCUCUCACUCCAAAUCUCUCUCUCUCUUUUCUUCUUUCUCUCUCCCCCUUCUUUUUUUUUAACCUUUUUUUGUCUCUCAUCCAAUCCGCUCUCUUUAUUCUCUCGGUUCUUUCUCUCACUCCUCUUCCUCUCUAUCUCCUCCGAUUCUCUCUCUUCAUUCUUUUUCAACCAAUCAUUUCUUAUUUUCUUUCCUCCCCUCUCCUCUUUCUCCCUCGACCACCUCUUUUUGGAUCUCCUUGUUCAGUUUGAGCUAUAAGAUUUAAAAAUUUUAAAUCGCAUAUCAAACAAGUUUUUGAGUUUUAAAGAAAAUUGUUUUCAAGAAAUAUUUUGAGAAAUGAUAAAAAAUUUCAAAUAUGAUACCAAACAAGCCCUUAAUAAUCUUAAAUUUUCUCGUCCAAACAAAAAGUUUUCUUGUCAUAGAACUUUCAAUUGAAAUCAAGGAAGAUAAUCUUUUCACAACUAAUUAUUCUCACCAAAAGCAAUUUUUAUUUUAUAGCAGAUCAAUACCAAAUUGCAAAAGCAAAGUAGUAAGGCUAAAAUUCAGGUGAAGAACCUGCUUCCACUAAUUUCCUUAGGAGGGAGAGAGAGAGAGAGGGGAGAGAGAACCAAGCGACCGAGCAGAGAGAGAAAACACCAAGUAGUAUUCUAAUGUUGGUGGGGUUAAGUCACCUUCCGUGAAGUUGCAGUAAGGACUUCUAUCCCAAAGAAAAGUCAGUAAAUGAUGUUGACAUCCGUCAACGACAAGGACAGAAUUGUGUAACCAUAAUUCUCUCUCUAUCUCUUUUUUCAUUAACGGAGGACAGUGUAUAAUUACUACGUAUAUAUCUCUGCUCAAUUAUUGAAAAGAAAAAUCCAUGUGCAUUAUUUUUAUUAUUAUUAUCUCAGAAAUGCAGAAAUUGAUCAUCUCUUCCUUCUGCAUAUUGAUACUGGUUUUCUUCAAACUAGUUGAAGCAAGGCAAUAUGUGUGCGCGAAAUCCAACUGUAGCAAUGAUCAAGGCCCGGCUAUCUAUUUCCCAUUGAACACCAGGCACACACAUCAUUGUGGAAAUUCUGGGCUUGAAUGCAAUGGGAGAAAUGAGCAGCAAAUACUAAUAAAAUUAUUUGUCAAACACAUAGAUUACAAGCGUCAGGAAAUCCAAGUCUAUUCCCCAAGUAACUGCCUGCUGCUAAAGCCUGUUGAAAUCCCAAACAUGCCACCCUCUCCCUUCAUCGUGUCAGUCGGUUACCUGACGAACGUUACCUUAUUCAGUUGUCCUACUUCUGUUGCAAGUGAUCCAUAUUAUCCGUAUCAAGUCCCCUGCCUCGGCGACCGUGGCAAGAGAACUUAUGCCAUUGAUUCUGACUCUGGUUUUAGAACUCUUUUCCGGAAUCUACAAUCUUGUACAAAAAUGUAUGAUGUUUUAUCAGUUCCACUAACCUAUGAAGAUUAUGUACAUCGUUUCAAAUGGUCUAUACCAAAUUGCAGAAAAUGUGGAGAGGGAAAGAAGUGUGGAUGGCAGAACAAUGAAAUUAAAUGUAUUCAAUGGAGGAAACCAAGUAAGGAUAACAUAUGUAUUCAUUGCUAGUUUUAAACAUCUUUACAUUUAUGUCUCAGUAAUUAUUAUUUAAAACAUGUUGUCCAAUCCAUUUUUACUAUGAAUAUUAACUGACAGUCUCAUUUGAAUUUGCCUUUAUCUUUUACAGGCAACACAUGGAAAUUAGUGGUUACAGGUGGAAUCCUGGGUUCUUUGCUUCUUGUUCUACUGAUGAUUGCAGCAUAUCGGGUAUAUAGCGCUGAUAGAAAGGAAAAAGAGAGUCGAUUGCGAAUCGAAAGAUUCUUGGAGGAUUACAAAGCACUCAAACCAAGCAGGUAUUCGUACGCAGAUAUUAAGAGGAUUACAAAUCAAUUCAAGGACAAGUUGGGCGAAGGAGCCUAUGGAACUGUCUUUAAAGGAAUGCUCUCUUCUGAAUUCUUUAUUGCUGUCAAAGUCCUCAACAGUUCUAAGGGAGAUGGGGAAGAGUUCGUAAAUGAAGUGCGAACGAUGGGUCAUAUCCACCACGUCAACGUGGCUCGCUUGGUUGGAUUUUGUGCUGAUGGAUUUGUAAGAGCUCUUGUUUACGAGUUCUUCCCCAAUGGUUCCCUGCAGGAUUUCAUUUCAUCCGCAGAUAGUAAGAAUUCCUUUCUUGGUUGGGAUAAGCUGCAGGAUAUUGCCCUAGGCAUAGCCAAAGGAAUUGAAUAUCUUCACCAAGGAUGCGAUCUACGAAUCCUGCAUUUCGAUAUCAAACCCCAUAAUGUUUUGCUAGACCAAAACUUCACUCCAAAAAUUUCUGAUUUUGGUUUGGCCAAGUUAUGUUCCAAGGAUCAAAGCUUGGUGUCCAUGACUACAGCUAGGGGGACCAUGGGCUACAUUGCACCCGAAGUGUUCUCCAGGAAUUUUGGAAAUGUGUCUUACAAGGCAGAUGUCUAUAGCUUUGGAAUGCUGCUGCUUGAGAUGGUAGGAGGAAGGAAGAAUAUUGGUUCAAUCACGGAUAACACUACAAAUGAAAUUUACUAUCCACAGUGGAUUUAUAAUCUUCUAGAGGAAGGGGAUGACCUACGAAUCCAUAUUGGGGAAGAAGGAGAUGGUAAAAUUCCAAAGAAACUUGCAAUUAUAGGGCUAUGGUGUAUCCAGUGGCACCCGUCGGAUCGUCCUUCCAUGAAAAUAGCGGUUCAGAUGUUAGAAGGAGGAGGAGAAAGCUUGAGUAUGCCGCCUAAUCCCUUUGUGCCUACUGGUCCUACAACUAGAAAUGCAAGACGCCUAGAGCUAGAAGCUAUUACUGAAUUAGAGUAAAAUGUAUAUGCAAAUAUGUCAACGUAUAGUAAUAUUUACAUUGAAUAAGGGCAGUUUGAUAAUCAUUUCGUUUUCAGCUUUUAGUUUUCAUUUUUCACUUUUUCAAAAAAUGAAAACUCAAAGGAAGUAGAUUAAAAGUAGAUACCAAACAAACUAGAAUCUCAAUAAAAAUAAAAAAAUAAAGAUUGAAUUGCACAACGCAAUCCAAACCAAUCAAAACAUUAAAAUAGCAAAAAUUUUUUAAAAUUCUAGUUGAUUAGAUUUUGAACAUAAUAAAAAUGAGCAGAUCCGAUGAGAAAACAAAAAGAUAAAAAUAGGGAUAAAGUAAAACAUUUAUAAAUAGCUCCUUGUCUCUUAUGUCAUCCAUUAAUUCUAUAGUAUAUAUAGAUUUUUAUUGAGUUUAAUCUUAAUAAAAAAAAAGACUUCUUGUAUCACAGAAAAUACAAGAAUCCAUUAUUUGAAUGAAAUAAAACCCAGGGGAAGGAGAUAUAAAUGGAUCCUUUUAUCCACAAUCGGAUUAUAUUUAUUUGAUACACUAUUGUCAAUAUGAAUGUUGAGAAAAGACUACAAAAGAAAAAACUAUUUAUAAAUAUAACUAACAAUUCCAAUUUCAAUCAAUUAGACAAUUAGAAUUAUAAGAAGAAAAAAAAGAAAUUUCAGUUUUCAGUUUUCAGUUUAAAAAAUAAAUAAAAACAAAAACUGAAAACUGAAAACAAAAUGAUUAUCAAAGCUGCCAAAUAAUACAAGUUUGUUUCCACUCUUUGUUUAAGCAUUGAUGCCAAUUUUUGUUUAUCAUUUUUUUAACCUUUAUUUUUUGUUACAGUAGAAGCCUAGAAGGAAAUCGAGCACUGGACUUACCAAACUCUUAAGUUAUUUCUACACACCAAGAGCUUGAUUUCGGUUCUUAUUUAUACUACUUAAGCUAUAACCCGUGAUAAGAAUUAGAGCACUAUCAUUUGUCGUGAGCUUCAAUUGGUUAGCACUUUGUAUGUUUUCAUUAGAAUUUAUAUUUCACUUAGACUUUCUUAUUAAAAAAAGGGAUCAGCUGGUGGCUUCACCACGACAGUCCAACUUUAUGUGGGCCAAGGAGACUCACAAAGGCAUUUCAGCCUCCCCCUAUAGCUACCGUCGUGUGAUUCACCAUUGCCAGGAAUCGAAUCCAAGACGUGUUGUGUGAAAUACGAGUCUGAAAUCUGUCUCUAACCACUGAGUCACCCCGUGAUGAUUAUAUUUCACUUAGACUUAUCUUGCGGUAUAGCAUGUCAUCCCCGCCCAAGUUUUUCUCUUCGCAUUGAGUUUGGGAUACCAAAACUUGCCAAACAAAGUAGAUUGAUUAGUAAGCGAAGCUAAUUAUUCGACUAAACAUUGUUUAGAAUUUUAAUUAAAAGAAACAAUAUGAAUCUUUUGUUAUUUUUUACAAACUAUAAUGUUAGGAAGUUAAAUUGUUAGUUGUUAAGGGUAGGGGGAUAGGUGAGGAUUGAACAUCCAUCAGAGUGCAUAGACAUUAUUGGUUCUACCACUGCGGUAAAUCACAUAAAACAAAACGUAAUACUUUAAGGAUGGAAGACACUUCGUGGAUCGCGGUCAAUCAACACUAUCGGUUGCUAUCCAAAACUUGGAAUUAUGUUUAUUGUCCGAAGGAUUUUUCUUCCAUUAAAUUGCUAAGGAAGAUUAGGAUGGGUGGAGUGUCAACUGUCAAGGUUGAUAAUAACGUGUAUGGUGUUAAGCUUGCAAUUUAGAUUUGUUGAGUGGCACAACAAAAUAUAAAAUUUUCCAAAUGAUAAGCUUGAGUAUAAUUUUUUUUACCACGUAUUUAUCUUUAAAAUCAUUAUAAUUAGAUUUUCUCUUAAUUAAUAUAGACCGUUAGAUUCAUCUAAUGACCCAAGUUUUUUUUCCUCUUUUCUUUCCACUCUUUUUUUCUUCUCUGAUUUUCCAUUCACCGUGUAGCAGUCGUUCUUCCCCAACUAAGUUUCUUAUUUUUCUUCACAAAAAAUUUGUAGAAAAUAUUAAGAAAAGAAAAGUCAUCAAUAGCAGACUCGACCAUGUAAUCGUUCCAAACUUGGAACUAUGUUUAUUGUCCGAAGGAUUUUUCUUCCAUUAAAUUGCUAAGGAAGAUUAGGAUGGGUGGAGUGUCAAUUGUCAAGGUUGAUAAUAACGUGUAUGGUGUUCAGCUUGCGAUUGAGAUUUGUUGAGUGGCACAACAAACCACAUAAAAUUUUCCAAAUGAUAAGCUUGAGUAUAAUUUUUUUCCACGUAUUUAUCUUUAAAAUCAUUAUAAUUAGAUUUUCUCUUAAUUAAUAUAGACCGUUAGAUUCAUCUAAUGACCCAAGUUUUUUUUCCUAUUUUCUUUCCACUCUUUUUUUCUUCUCUGAUUUUCCAUUCACCGUGUAGCAGUCGUUCUUCCCCAACUAAGUUUCUUAUUUUUCUUCACAAAAAAUUUGUAGAAAAUAUUAAGAAAAGAAAAGUCAUCAAUAGCAGACUCGACCAUGUAAUCGUUCCAAACUUGGAAUUAUGUUUAUUGUCCUAAGGAUUUUUCUUCCAUUAAAUUGCUAAGGAAGAUUAGGAUGGGUGGAGUGUCAACUGUCAAGGUUGAUAAUAACGUGUAUGGUGUUCAGCUUGCGAUUGAGAUUUGUUGAGUGGCACAACAAACCACAUAAAAUUUUCCAAAUGAUAAGCUUGAGUAUAAUUUUUUUACCACGUAUUUAUCUUUAAAAUCAUUAUAAUUAGAUUUUUCUCUUAAUUAAUAUAGACCGUUAGAUUAUCUAAUGACCCAAGUUUUUUUUCCUCUUUUCUUUCCACUCUUUUUUUCUUCUCUGAUUUUCCAUUCACCGUGUAGCAGUCGUUCUUCCCCAACUAAGUUUCUUAUUUUUCUUCACAGAAAAUUUGUAGAAAAUAUUAGGAUAAAUUACAUAAUAGCCCCUCAAGUUUGAGGUCUAUUAUAACUUCAUACAACGUCUUUAAAACAUUUCACUUUCAUACAUCAUAUACCAUUUUAUUUCAAAAUAAUAUUUCCAUUAGAUUUUCCGUCCAUUAAUCUGUUAAAUGCUGACGUGGCUGCCACGUGGUAAAAAAUUAUUUUUUUAUACAUUAACAAUAUUAUAAUAUUAACCCUAUUAAAACAAAAUAAAAAAUAAAAUAAAAAAACAAGAAAAGCCCGAACCCAACCCAGAUCCCCUUCCUUCUCCCUCACCUCUCUCCAACUCCUAUUUACAAAAUCCCUUCCCCCAGAAGAACAAGAAGAAACCAAACUCGUCUGUUCCCCCCCCCCCCCGCGACGACCCACCUGCCCGUGACCCACCCCCCCCAUCCCCGGGCGACAACCCACCUGCCUUCCUCUGCCCUUCCCGUCGACGAUAAGCUCCCGCGACCCCCCGCCCUCCCUCAGCGACGACAAGCUCCUGCGAACCCCCCCCCCAGCGACGGUUGUGGUUUUGCAGGUAUUUGGGUUAUGGUUUUGCAGGUAGUGGGUUGUGGUUUUGCAUGUAUUUGGGUUGUGGUUUUGCAGGGAGUGUGUUGGGGUUGGUGUGGAGGAAGAAGAAGAGUGGGAGAGAUGGGUAAGGGGGUGGGGGUGGGGGUGGGAUGUGGGUUGCGGGGAAGGGGAUCUGGGUUGGGUUCGGGUUUUUCUUGUUUUUUUUUAUUUUUUUUUAAUUUUUUUAGGGUUAAUAUUAUAAUAUUGUUAAUGUAUAAAAAAUUAAUUUUUUUACUACGUGGCAGCCACGUCAGUAUUUAACAGAUUAAUGGACAUAAAAUCUAACGGAUGUAUUAUUUUGAAAUAAAAUGGUACAUGAUGUAUGAAAGUGAAAUAUUUUAAAGACGUUGUAUGAGGUUGUAAUAGACCUCAAACUUAAGGGGUUACUAUGUAAUUUACCCUAAGAAAAGAAAAGCCAUCAAUAGCAGACUCGACCAGGUAAUCGUUCCAACCUUCCCAGCAACUCUGUCUUAACAAGGCACCUAAUUUUCUCCGCCACCUAACUCGUCAUUCAUUCAUGGGUGUUUCAAGCUUGGUGAUAAUUGAUGGAGUUCCAUGUGUGUACAGGGAUGUGAACAUAUUGGCCACUCUCUAAGAAUGAGUUAUUGGAAAUUUUGAAGGAAAAAUGUAACUGAUGAAAUAAUGGAUUGGAAUUGCAAUGAAGUCUGUGUUGGUUAUCACAAAGAUCCCAGAUACAAAAUUUUAAAAGCAAACAAUUACAACUUCUCUAUUAUUAUCUAACAAACUUUCAAUGAAAUGUUGCUCAUAAUUGAAAAAGGUUGACGAAGGACGGAGUUGGGGUUAUUUUAGACAGGGCCGGCGCUGAGGGGUGCAAGUGGUGCUACCGCACAGGGUCCCCAAAUCGGAAGGGCCCCCGAUUUUUCAAUUUUGCAUGCAUUUACUUAUAUAUAGUAGUAUGUGUAAAAUAUUACAAACUUGAGUCUUAGUGCAAGUGGAAUUAUAGCUUCUUUACAUCGGCUUAGGGGAUAGGUUCAAAACUCAUCUCCAUCAUUUUUUCAGUUUAUAUUUUUAUUAAAUGCAUAAGCUUCCACAAAACAAUAUAAACCUUUCCACUGGUUGAUUUGUUAAAUUUGUUUGUGCUAUUAGAAUUUAUAGAAGCUCAAUUGAAAACUAAAAUUAUUAUUUUGAACAAAAAAAUAUAAAAAAAAUAAUAAAUUCUUAGAACUUUUUAGAGCCUCCAAUUCACUUUUGCAUAGGGCCCCUGAAAUCUCAAGGCCGGCUCUGAUUUUAGAUGCGUAAGCGUUAAAAGAAGGAAGUGUCAUUUAAUUGAGAAAAAUGAUUGGAGAAAUGAUAAUUCAAUGUGGGCGUUUUUAAGGUGUGGACCUUGCGACCGGACCUUGAGUGGGGAUCAUAAUCCAACGGUCAUGAUCUGACGAGCUCAUGCUUAGAAUAGAGUUGUUGUGACCCAAUGCAAUUCAAAACUUUUAUGUUUUUUUAUUCACUGGGUACGUUUUUGUACGAGAAAAAGAGGAAGUCCAGGGAUUCUUUGCGCAUUAAAGAGGGAAAGAGAGAAAGGGAGAGCUAGGUUCUUGGCGCGUUAAAUUUUUGCUUCUGAUUUUGCAACCUAGAAAUAAGGUAUUUUCUUUAUGGUUUAUGGUUCAAGAAUAUAAUGGAUGCAACCUAAAAAUGUUUAUUUUUUAUUUUUACCUUUUUCCUUAUGUUGACUUUUGGUUUAUUCUUGAUCUGUUCUGUACUGAUCUUUUAGGUUCUUAUAAUGCACUAUAUCAUAUAUACUAAAACUCAAACCCCAUGGUCACUGUGGAUGACCAGUGUGUGGACCGUUUUGCCCCUCCAUUUUUUCUCUGUUUUGGUGUUCUCUUCAGUUUUUCGCACAAUAAAAACCCUAUUUUGCCCAUUCUGGACAGGUGUUGGUCAUUGGAGUCAGUUGGUCUACCUACUUUUCUUCUUCUUUUCUCCCUUUUGUUUUCAGAAUGGUGGACAGGUGUUGGUCAUCGGAGUCAGCUGGUCUACCUACUUUUCUUCUUCUUUUCUCCCUUUCGUCUUCAGAUUUUUCAUUGUUGUUUUCUCUCCUUCUCCCUCUCUUGCCAAUCGCUUUCUUCUGUUUUUGAAUCUUUCCCGGUUUUCGUUUUAAGCCAGCCACUGCUUCUUCUUUGUGUAUAGCAGCGUGGUGUUAGUUUGUUGGGAAAAAACACUACCGGUGGUUUGCGCUCUUUCGGUUGUUUGGUUGGGUUCGAAGGUUUUUCUAUCUGUAAAGGGUGGAUUAUCCUGGUUAGUUGUUUGCCUUUCUCAUAUUAGGUAUUUCUUUUUGUUCCUUACCGUUUUUCAUUUUUGUGGAUGGGUUUCCUGUUUGCAGCUAUGUUUUGGAAAUUUGGGGUUUUUGCUACCAUCUUGGGUUUUUGGGUAUGGUUCUUCGUUCUGGUUGAGUCUGGAAUUUUUCUUUUUUUUUUUGUUUGGUUUCGUCCCAAACUAAUUUUAGUUGUUUGGUGCUUUUGUGUGCAGGUUUGCAAGCCGUGUUUGUUAUUGGUGAGUGUUUUCCUUUCGUCCCUUCAAGGGUUUUGGAGAGAUGAGUUUUGGUUUUCUUGUGGUGUAAGAAUUGUGUUAUGCUAUAUUUUGUUUGUGUUUAAUGCUUUCAUGUUUUCUUUGAUUUAAUUUGAAGGAAAUUUGUGUUAUUUCCAAGUUAUGUAAAAACAAAAACUGAGUGAUUGAAAAAUGUAAAGAUCGAUUGACAGGCAAGAAAAUGAAGUUAAAUUUUAUUAUCCAAAAAUGAACCUGCAGAAAAUUAAAAAAAAAUUGACAGUGAAUUUGUUUUAAUAGUUAAACACACUUUAAUGGGUGAUUGCAAAAAUUUCAGAUUGUGGACUCGAUUGUGCCGGUGAUGCAUGACCGUUGUUCUCUUCUUUUUGCCUCAACAGAGUGCAAGUUAAUCUCAUGUAGCCAAUAACGGUGUUGGCAUUUUGUGCUGAGAUUGAUUAAUGUCUUGAUUUCUUACCCAAUGUUGAAUCAUUUUGAAACACAAUAUUGUUGUUUGCUGAAACACAAAAUGAUUAACUUCUCUCAACGUGUAGUGUGUGUUAUUAUUAAUACAUUUUAUAGGUUCUUUGAAUGUGACAUCAAAGUGUAUUUCGUUUUAGGUGAUGUCGCUGUUUUCGUUUGUUUUAUUUUUUUGGUUCUUCAGUUUGUUGUUUUGAUCUUAGGUUAAUAUGCUUAUACAAAUGCUGAGCAAUGGAUGUAAUAGAUUGGAUUAGGUAAACAUUUUUGUGAUGGUAAUCAUUCAGAAGUGAUAAGGCAGUUAAUAGAUCAAUAAGUUGUUUGAAUAGCAGAUGAAAAUGUGUCUGUCGUGUUUGGCUGGAGAUUACAAAAGUGAUUGGAUUUUGACAAAAAUUUAAUGUUUCCUAAAAUUUGUUUAUAAUUUUUGGGAAAAAAUCAGAGCACCAAUUGGAGUAUGUGUUGAAACUAUUUUUUAUCCGUUUUUCUAAUGAGCGUGGUUUCAUCUGCUAGGCUAAUUAUGUAUAAUUUUUUAUUCCAGUUGAUGAUGUUUGUCUUUUUGCACUGUUACAGAUUUUGCACAGAUUCUUCGUUCAUAAUUUGUAUCUCUUAAUUCAGUUGUGUUUAGCUAAGUAUGAACAUAAAUUAUGUGUAGUUGGAAAAGUAUUGGUGGAGCUAAAAAAAAUUUGAUGGAUUUUGCAACAUGUUUAAUAGCAGUUAAAAAUGUGUUUUCUUUUAGCUGACGACAUAGUUUUUCAUUUCUUUAAUUCUUUUGGUUGUUUUCUUUGUUGUUGUAACCUCAGGGUAAAAUGUUUAUACAGAUAGUUAAUGAUAGACUUGCUAGAUUGGAUUAUAAGAGUUUGGAUCAUGGUUAAUCUUGACAGUUAAUUUUACAAUGUGAUAACUGCUACAAUCAAAUGGAUAACUAUAAUAUCUAUCUUAAUGGUCUCCAAAUUUAACCUUUUAUGUAUAAUGAUUUUCCAAUGUCUUUACUAUUAUUGGUAUUCCUCUUUUGUAACACAACUUUUCACAACCCGGUUGCCGCGGGCACUAAAAACUAGUAUUAACUAAAUUUAUAAACAUUUUGUAUCUUUCUUGCAGUCUAAUUAAUCGUAUGGGUCGGCAUAACGAAUUUUGAUUGAGACAUACAUAUGUUUUCCACUCUUAAGUUUAACUUGACACAGCCCGACCCCAAUAUCUAGUGGACACCAAAAUCAAGGUGUACUAGCCAUCAACUGAAUAGGUGACGAAACUAUAAUAUGCAUGAAAACAUAACUAAAUUAUCAACUAAUAAAAUUAAAUUUGGCAGAACAUCCCUUAAAAUAGGGAUAUGCCCAAAUUAAAAACACGUGCACAUGAUCACAAUUAUUCAAACAAAUCCCCGAAGGGUCACACUGGGCUGGUUUGGUAUUGCUGUGCUUUGAAAAAAAGCUGCUGUGAGAAUAAGUGGCUGUGUUGUGAGAAUAAGCGUCUGUGAAAUAAAUCAGCAGAGUGUUUGGUAAACUUUUUUGUAAAAGUGCUUUUGAAAAGAAAAGCAGUCUGAUAGUGGGUAUUUUCAUUAAAGGAGCACUGUAGUUCUGUGAGCUUUGAAAAAAAAGCCAGUUUUUCAAAGCUACAAAUUGCAACUUCAGCUUUUUCCUUUGAUUUCAGCUUAUUCUCACAGCAGCUUCCAAAAUAAGCCAUUUUUUUAAGUUUACCAAACACCAAAAAUACUCCCAGCUUUUUUUCAUAGGAGCUUUUUUUAAAAUCACCUCAACCCCAAACUGGGGCUUAAUGGGACUUCGACCAUCUAUUACAUGCAUGAGAAUAUGUUCAGAGCAUAAUUACCCAAACACGUCUUAUUAAAAUAUUGAGUAAAUACCAUACAAGAUAGAAUACGUCAAAGCUGUUGCAAAAUACCUCAACGUCGAAUGUAAUCACUCAUACAAUUAUUGAAUCCUGUAUACAUGGAAAGCUGAUACAUACAUGUAAAUUGAGUGGAUACUUACCAGCGGCAUAGAUACAAUAUCAUCCACUAGUCGUAACUUGUGAUAUCCCGUCCCCAAAUUAGUAUUUUAUUUUAUUUUUGAUGUAUUACGGAGAUUUAAUUAAAGUUAGUUCGUUAAUUUUCCGAUUUCAAGAAAAGUGAAGUGAAGGGUAUUUCUACUAUUUCAAAUUUUACUCAACCUUUUCGGCCAACUCUUGAGUUGUUUAGGUAAAGCUUAAUUCCACGAGCGCGUAGACGCAAACAAAUCUUAAUUCCAAAUUAGAACGGAGAAGUUACGAACCUCGGAAGUAGUGAGACCUUUUAGACAUGUGGAUUUACCAUGAGGGGGUGAGUUUCCUUUAGCAUCUGCUAAAUUAGCAGGUUUCCUUUUCAGGAAACCUGACCCAUAACCCAGAAAACCCAACCCAAGUGACCCACCGUGAUUUUCCGAUGCCGAUUCCGGCCAACUCUGGGGGUAAUUUUUGACGCCAUCACCACCAUCUUGAAGCUUUCACUUCCCUCUACAAAACCCACCCAAAAACAACCUUGAUUAACCACCGUAUGUGGUGGUGCGAGGCCAUAAAAACCGACGAAAACCAACAGUACUCCGGCCACCCUUUUCAUUUUUUCGGCAAAUCGGCAAAGCGACGGCCAACGCCACCACCUGGAACUUGUAUCCCAUCAUCCCGGGAGUAAAUCCCGACCAAACUUGAUCCCGUUCGACCACCGCAGGCGGCGAAUAGACACCGAGAAGUUUUUUAGGCACCCGUCGACUUUAUCGAUAAAAUUGACCAUUUUCUGUCCACUUUUGGACUUCGUGGCAGAUAUAAAACUUGUUCCUCUUGUUGAGCCCUAUCUUCUUGUAAAUUUGGGUAGAAUUUGGAGUUAGUCUAAAAAGUGGGUGUCCGGCAAGAAUUUGGAGUUAGUAAAAAAAGUGGGUUUCCGGUUGCCGGAAACCACCAUGCGCGGCAACGCUUGGGGGAGAAUCUGUUUUCAUGGAUUUUGGACAGCGAGACAUUCUUGAUGUCCUGAGCCCAUAUCCAAAGACCAUUUUUCGAAAUUUGAUACGAUGGUUGGAUUAUUCAAUUUUUCGGAUAAUUGUAUCAUCGUAUGAUUUUUGUAAUUGACGACAAUCCGACCGUUGGAUCGUCGUGCAAUUUUGUGAGCACCUUAUUUAUCAGUUGUUGGACCUUUGAGAACUUACGGAUUGGAAAUCUGACAAGCGGAUCUUUCGGAUUGAAUAACCUUAGAUUGUUGACCUUAGUGGACCUACCUUGUUGACGUUUGACGUUCUAGUCAACAUGCUCUACUCUAGAGUGUCGUUUAUCUUUAGUUUGUUGUUGAGGCUUGAUGGAGCAUAGUUGGCUCAACACGAUGAUGUGUCGUUCCUGGUUGACAUGCGUCUCGAUUUAUGUGCAAGUGGCAUUUGAUCUCGUUUUAUGUGUCAGUCUUAUUAAGUUUCCUAAGUGGGGUUUGUGUGUUGUAUUAGGUUCCUGGAGGCGGAAAUGGUGAAUCUAGAAGUGCAAAUAACCCAGGUGAGUGACAUUAAUGUUAUGUGAUAUGGUUAUUACCCAUGAAAUUCCUUGUUAUAUACCAUGUGGAUAUGACAUGGAUUUCCAAAUGAUUAUAUGGAAAUGUGUGCUACUAUGCUGUGUUUACUUGAUGGUGUUAUCAGAAAUAUAUAUAUAUAUAUAUAUAUAUAUAUAUAUAUAUAUAUAUAUAUAUAUGCUUGAAAUGAUUGUGAUAUGUGAGGGUUAGUAGAUGACCGCUAACCCAGUACAUGGGGUAAUGUGGGAUAUAAUCGGAAUAUGCACCGUGUAGCAGUGGUACAUGGAUGGUCCUACUUGGUUAAUCCGCAAUGGGGGACCAUACUACCUUGGGAUCGUGCUUGGUUAAUCCGCGAUGGGUGAUCCUUAUUACUUAGGUAUGGCCAUACAUACAUAUUUAGGGGUGAUCAUGCUUGGUUAUUCCGCGAUAGGUGAUCACUAUCUAUUAGUAUUCGUAGGAGUGACUCUGUUUGGUUAAUCCGCUAUGGGGGGUCAUUACCUACAUGAUGUUCUCAGGAGUGGUUUUGCUUGGUUAAUCCACAACGGGGGACCACAUCCUAAUCGGUUGCCUAUUGUAGGCUUUGGUCGAACUGUCUCUCUAUAGCCCUAGACUAGUAUCCAUUACAUAUAUGAAAGAUGAGAUUGACAAGCCUGUGUGGCUCAAUCUAGAAAGUGGUGAUUGAAUCAAAUAGUUUACAUGAUGUUGUUGCCUAAAAGAGAUCCGAUUCGGAUGUGACUCAUUCCCACUCGUAAUGAAGAAUUGCAAUAAUGAAAAAUGUACCAAUCUCAUUCCUACGCGUCAUAGUAUUGUGUGUCAUUCCUACACAACUUCGGGUUGUGUGAUGACUGAAUGUUAUCUUAAUAGACGUGUGGUGAGAUUCAAAAUUGAAUAACCAUUCCUAUACGUAUAAUGAGGUGUAUGGUGGUUAAAUUAUAAUAUAUGUGAAAAUUGGACCCUUGUGAUUAUAGGAAAAUGAGAAAGGCGAGUGGUGAGUCACAAUCCGAAGAGAAUGACAGAAUAAUAUUGAUGGUGAUCACAUUGACGGUUGAUACGGUAUACAGAAGAAGUGUCAAGUGUGGACAUAGCACUACUUUGACAUUUAAUCAUUUGAUGUUGCUUAUGUUGUAUUAUUGUCACUCACACGAGCUUCGUAGCUUAUCCAGAUUUUGAUUUGCUCGGUGCACCAUUCCUAUGAUGUAGGGUUAUUUUGCAAAGUAACUGGUAGCAGUUAGAGGAGAAGAUUUCAGGUGGUGUAACUAUGAGGGCAAUGCACUUGAGAGUAAGUUUUGCCAUCAUUUGUUAUAAGUUAUUCAGAUGAUGCUCUGAUGUAUAUUAUAUGUAUGAGUCUUAGCGACUCUAUGUAUUUUAUAUUGUACCGCUACUGUUAUUCCGUCACGUGUUGAUUUUGGGCAUAUCUCGGGAUUGGGGCAUGACAUAACUAGUGAAAGCUGGAUAGUAUAAUCAUGUCAUUGCCGAGUAAUCUCAAGGCAAUGACAAGCUGAGAAUGUAACUGAGUAAUCAUGUCAUUACUGAGUAAUCUCAAAGUAAUGACAAGUUGAAAGUAUAACCAUAUAAUCAUGUCAUUACCGCGUAAUCUCAAGAUAUAAUUGUAGUACCUCUUAUUAGUGCAACUCCAUCUCGCAUAUAUAUGCAAGCCAUAAUCAAACCAAUAAACAUCCAACAAAAGCCACAAUCUAUUUAACAUUCGACCACAAGAUCAAUAUUCGUAUUUCCCAAACCUAGGUUUCAAAGCAUUGUUUCGAAUUAUUAAUACAAGAAACCACCACCACCUCAAUCAACUCCUAUUCACAAGUGUAAGCAAUUACUAAAUGCAUCACUUUCGACUCUAGUCUUAUUUAGAUUACUUGGGAUACUCAUUCACACCAUCAGAUCCAAGUACUAUUAUGAUUAACUUUAAAUAGCAUGGUUAAAAUAAAUGAAACAUUUGAAUGAAACACUUUUAGAAAAUAAGUGAAGAUGCUGUUUACAAAUAUAGAUGCAUCUGUAUAUAAAAGCUUUUGCAUCUGUAUAUAAAAGCUUUGGCGGUUGGUACGUAUACACUGCUAGAGAUAUAAGUAAGUUCAUUGGAAUAUACAUACAUAGUUAUAGUAUUACGGUAUAAUUACUAAGAAAACAAUUCCAUCCCUUUCAGAUUAUGUAUAUAUAUAUAUAUAUAUAUAUAUUUGUUCUUCAGACAUAUGCAAAAGUUAAUGUAAAACCAAUGAGAACUUAAAUAGAUAUCUCAUACAUAGGACAAUUACCAUAUAUGUUUUUUCAACAUUUAUAUCGAAAAGUCAAAUUGUUUCGAGAAAAUUGUAGCAAUGAUCUCUUAACUAAAAAUUCAUGACUAUUGAUCCCUUAACUCCACAAAAUGUGUAGUUAUGGUCAUUUUCGUCAAUUCCGUCAGAACUUUUGUCAAAACAAGUAAUGUUAGAAUAAUCAUUGCUACAAUCAGGUUAAAGUUGGAGAACUAUUGCUCUAAUUGGGUUAAAGUUAAGGGACAAGUUCUCCAAAUUGCUUAAAGUUCAGGGGUCAUUUCUACAAUUUUCUCAUCUAGUUUCCCAUAUUUACCUCCUGAUUUAGCUUCACAUGCAUUGCAGAUGACUCAUUUUGACAGAAGUUUUAACGAAGUUGACGAAAAGGAUCAUAAAUGCACGUUUUGAAGAGUUGAGAGACCAAUGGUCGUGGAUUUUAAUUGAUGGAUCAUUGCUCCAAUUGAAUCAAAGUUGAGGAAUCACUGCUACAAUUUCUCUCAAAUGUUUCAUAUGUGAAAAUAGGCAUUUGUAAAGUUCGGAAAACAUUGGCUUGUUCAUGACAUUACUUUAGUCUAAAGUAGGAGAGAGCUCUUCUCUCUACCAGUGAGAGUCCUUCGCACCUUAGUGUGAGUUUUAGCUUUCUCUUCCGGUUUUCUGUGUAGCCGCCGGCCCUGCUAUGGCAGUCCAUGCUUUUUCUAUUUCCUUCUUAUUUUCUUUUCCCUUUUUGUUGUCAGCAAUAAGCCCACUCCCUUUUCCUUCCCGAUCUACACCUUUCUUGCCUUUAUUUUCACUAUUUGGAUCCCAAAUUCUAUAUCUUCCAUUUCCUUUAACACCCCCACCAUUUGGCCUCACUAUCUUUCCACUAAAUCUCAAAUCGAUUCGCCUACCUUUUCUUGCGAUUUUUCGCGUUCUAAUAGGAGGGUGCGUAGAGCUUUGGCUCGGGUGUCCACACCACCACCCUUGUUGACCCCGGUUGGUCUUUCUCGGUGUUCGCCCUUGUUGGCGAUGUCGCUCGUCGGAUAUUUCUUCCUGUGGGCUUCCUUUGUUUCUGGGUGGCGUACGUUUUGGUGGUUCGUGGAGGAUGGUGCAGCCUUCUUCUUCUUCAACUUUGGUUUCUGGAUGGUGAUGGAGAUUGGCUUCUAAGCUUCCUUAUGAGGUGUGUUGGCGGUGGAGAGAGUUUCUACAGUAGCUUUAGAAACUUAGGGUUGUGUUUUGUUGUUUGUGGUUUGUGUAUGUUGGGCUACAAUGUAGAGUUGGGCUUGUUUGCUUUUUGUUCUUGGAGGUCCAUGUUUGUUCUUUGUAAUUAUUGUGGUUUUGGACCUCUUUGUGUUUAAUGUUUAUGUGUUUUUCUCUUCUUGGUAAUAAUAUUACCUUUUAACCAAAAAAAAAAAGGAGGGGGAACGGCACUGUACAAUUUUGGGGUAGAUUUCAUUUUAUUUACGAAAUUUGCACUGAAUCUCCCUGCCCCCUGAUUUAACGUUAUUUGCAAAAUUGCCACUGGGUUUCAGAAAAGGGUUUUGGGUCUUUGGGCUGGAUGUGGCCUUUUACUCGGGGAGAGAGACGGAAGGGGACGUGCGGGUGGGUGUCCUGUGGCUGAUGCAUCGGUCAGAGGGUUGUUGGAGGGAUGGGAGGCCAUGCCGCUCUGGGAUCGAGAUAGAGAGACAGAGGGAGAGGGAGACAGAGCGACAGAGAGAGAGAGAGGGAGAGGGUGGUUCGUUUUCCAUUUGCUUCCUGGAAGUCGAAGCUCCAAUUGCAUCCAUUGUCAUUUCGAUUUGGGAGAGGGUGGUUGCUGUAGCCUGUCGGUGAGAUUGAGGGAUGGGUGUGAGAUUCGGUGAGGUGAAAGGUUACAGGGAGAAGGAGAGACAGGCAGAGAAAGGGGGAGGCGUGGGGUGAAUAGGUCCCCAUAUGAACAAAUCCAUGCUCAGAACUAAUUUAGGGUUAGGGUUCUGAAAUUAAUUUUCCCCCAAUUUGCCCUCUCUCUUAAAUCACCAUAUCCAGGUAAAUCCUAAUUGUAGAUCAGACUUCUAUUACAAUUUGCUUUCUUUGUGAAAUUUUAUGGUAAUUUACACUAAAGUCUGUGGCUUUUGAAAUUCUAUAUGAAAUUGUGAAUGUUGUUCGGAAUCGAGUCCGGCCAAGUUCUUUGCUAAAUAGUGCGAAAAUAUGCAUGAUGGAACUAAAUUACCUUUGUAUCAUCUACAUUUACCCGUUAUCAUAACAGGAUUUAAAAUAUAGAAACAUACUGCUUAUAGGAUAUUAAGGUUGAAGUCAUUUAGUUCCAAAGAUGCCAUAACUAAUGUAUCAUUGAGUGAAAUGCCAGUUUACAAAGAUAUUGUGCUUAUUUGUUUUAGGUGGAUUACCAAAAGGAGCUCAUAAAGUAUUCUGCGAGCAUGAUCGACCUUGAUCAUUUGGAUAUUUAAAGGAGCCAUUGAUCAGGGGAAGACGACGAGUUGUGAACCUGUGUGCCAAUUUUGCCAAUUUUGCAGACAAGCAGAAACUCUGACACAGUGAUCAAACAGGCUUUCAAUUUUAAUUUCUUUUUUCUGGUUUUAGUUUCAAGUUUUGGAAGCGUUCUCAAUUUUUCAAAAAUUUCAUGAAUUUAUUGCAUUUUUUAAAGCAUGAUCUGAUUUUAUUGUAAUUUGAAAUUUUUUGAUCUGGGUAUGCCUUUUUUAUUAUUUUUGCUAAUUGGAUCUGAUUGUUUUGGUGUUCAGAGUAUGGAAAGUAAAAAAUUUCAACUUUGGCGAACAAUUAUCUCACUUGGACAUAUAUAUGGGUUGAUGCAAAGGUAACCGAUCACUUUCUUGAACCAUAAAUGCCGUUGUGAAGUUGUUGUUCUUAGCCAAUUUUCUGUGGAUCUAUCUAGGAUUGAGUUGGUUGUAUAUAAUUUAAGCAUUGAAGGUGAGGUGGUGUUGCUGUCAUUUAAAUAAUGCUUUAUAUUUAGGGGAUGACUUGCUAAUGGACUUACUGCCCCGAAAUCUGCGAAAAGAGUUUAUGAUCAGAACCCUGACGAGACCUUGAGUGCAAAAGCCUUUCGGUUUCAUAAGUCUCAACAAAUUUGAAUGUCAAAGGAAUAAAAAUCUGCCCUUAAGCAUCUCUAUUCGACCAAGCAUGAAAUCCUAAGCACUUAUCACCACAAAAAAAUAAAUAAAUAAACAAGCUGAAAAACCAUGACCAAAGGCACUUAACAGAGCCUUUCACCGGGUCAGAACCCACCAUUCCAAGCAAUAUCCAGCAAGGUUUCACCUAAAGGCAUAUGACUCUUUUUAUAUGUUUUGCUCUUAUUAUACAUUUAAAAUGUCUUCCACUAUUUAACAAUUGUAUCCUUAUAAAUUACCUAUGAAUUAUCAACUUGAAGGGAAAUUAUAGGACAUAAGAACAUAGUUUGAACUGUGCUUAGUAUUGUUCUGUUAAACAUAUUCGUACAGCCAAAGGCCUCUGUUAAAUAAUUUAUAUCUGCAUUAUGUCCUUCUCUAUGAGUCUAUGAUUGCAAUAUUAGUGCUGUUCCUUACCAAAAAAAUCUUUUAAAAAUUAGGUUUCUCAGUUAGGUUAGUGUAUGUUAGUAUAUGUUUAAAAAUUACAAAAACAAUUCAUAAUUCACGAACGUUCCUGGCUGGAAGGUAGGUUAGUGUAUAUUUAAUUUAGCUCCCCUGUAUUUUUUAUUUUUUUGUUUUGUUGGGUGAUGCAGUUUGAUCGGAUCCAGUUGUUGGAUAUUCCCUGAAGUACCAAGAAGGAACUGACUACUGGGAUUUUUUUGGCAAGUAAUAAUUUUUAAUUACUUACACGUUUUUUUUUUUUAAUUUUAAUUUAUGAUUUGAUUGGCCCUUUCUUAUAUAAGUUUCGAGCCUCAUAAUUGUUGGACCAUUGAUAUUGUUGAGUGUUAUUAGUGAAUGCGUUUUGAGUAUGUUAGCUAAUGGGUUAUGUGUUGGGAGACUCACUUUGCAUAAACAACUUGCAGUAGCUCAUACAUGUGACAUAGCACUCCUUUUAUUACAAAUGGUUGAUAUUUCAAAUGCUAGGAAUGCAGUCCAUAAUAUAUACUUCGGUUAUGAAUUCUAAUUACAUAAUUCUGUGGUGAGCUCAAGAGCUUUUGAUUUGCUUAAGCCAUAUGGCGAGUUGCAGCCUCUUUCAACUUUGCUAAUAAAGAAUAAGCAUAUUUCAAUAUCUUCAUUUUUCUUUUAUGUUGAAAUUAGAACGUAGUUUUUUCACAUGAAAAUUGAAGUUUUCCAUGAUUGAGAACUCUCUUUUUGUUCAAACUGUGUUACAAGUUUGUUUUUUUGUUUUCUUCCAGCAGGUGGACCUAAAAACAGACCAAGUAUGCAAGGGAAUGCUAGGAUCAACGUAUGAGAGGUAACUCUGCCUCUCAUGUUAAAUUUCUAUUGUGGUAUUUUUUUCAUUAAAUAUUGGUCAAAACAUUGUUUAGUAUAAACCUAAUCACAAUACUAACAAGGAGAUAGAUUAGAAAUAGAGAGGUUUUAGUUUGAUUUAAUGUUUACUUUAAAGAUUUUGGAUAAUGAUUAGGCCUGGCAAACGGGUCGUGUCAGUCGUGUUCGUGUCGUUUUCGUAUAACACCUGUUAUCUUAACGGGUCGUGUCGUGUCACACCCGUUAUCUUAACGGGUCUUUAACAGGUCGUGUCACUUUACCCAACGGGUAAAGUGACCCGACCCGUUAUGACCCGUUAAGAAAAAUAUAUAUUUUUUCUUAAAUUUGCACAUACCACACAUUGCCACAUAAAUAUUACUUCAAAACAUUAAAACACAUUUGUCGUUUAAGUACUACAUCUACACUCGAAAAUAAGAGCCUAAUAAAAAAAUAAUACAUACAAUAUUAAUCUAUUACAAAUUUUAAAUGUUCAAGGAUAUGCAAAAUGAAACAGUUUUUGUUUUCAAGGUUGUGAAAUCUUUCUCAAAAGUUUAAACCUCAAUUUACAAAAUCCUCGAUUUACAUCGAUCAUCAUGAAAUUGCAUUGGAACUUUGGCUUGAUCUAUUGCCUUCAAGAGUUAUGUUGAUGAUGUUUUCAGUAAGGUUUUCCACGUCAUAACUAUCUUCUGCAUAAACUAAGCAUAGCAAAACCAAACAUUAAAAAUCAUUCAAAUUAUGAGAAGUUUACCAAAAUAAUUAUGAAAAAAAAUAAAACAAUAGUACUAUACCAUACUUUUAUUAAGUAUAAACAUAAGAUUUUGUGGUAUCCACUAGUAUAAAUAUUUUAAAUUGAAGAUCGAAUUCAAUCAUUGUAUUCAUAUAAGGUCAAGGAGUGUAGUUGUAAAAAAUCAUCAAAAUCGGAGUUAAAUUAACCGUUAAAUCGUGAUUUUUCGUUUAUAACCGUCGAAAAGUUUUGUCCCGCUACGUGCUCUCUGAAUGUUUGUUUUUUGCAAUUUUUGGCGUAUACGAUCUCGAAAUAUAUACAAACAUGUUUGACGGUUGGAUCAUUGAAACUAGUUUCGUAGAAUGAGUAUCCCAUCAAAACAAUAGAUUCACUAAUACUUAAAAGUUUAUUCAUACUUUUAUUAAGUAUAACAUAAGAUUUUGUGGUUUCCACUAGUGUAAAUAUUUUAAAUUGAAGAUCGAAUUCAAUCAUUGUAUUCAUAUAGGGUCAAGGAGUGUAGUUGUAAAAAAUCAUCAAAAUCAGAGUUAAAAUGACCGUUAAAUCAUGAUUUUUCGUUAUAACCGUCGAAAAGUUUUGUCCCGUUACUUGAUCUCUGAAUGUUUGUUUUUUGCAAUUUUUGGCGUAUGAAAUCUCGAAGUAUAUAUAAACAUGUUUGACGGUUGGAUCAUUGAAACUAGUUUCGUAGAAUGAGUAUCCCAUCAAAACAAUAGAUUCACUAAUACUUAAUAGUUUAUUCAUACUUUUAUUAAGUAUAGUAUAAGAUUUUGUGGUAUCCACUAGUGUAAAUAUUUUAAUUGAAGAUUGAAUUCAAUCAUUGUAUUCAUAUAGGGUCAAGGAGUGUGGUUGUAAAAAAACAUCAAAAUCGGAGUUAAAAUGACCGUUAAAUCGUGAUUUUUCGUUUAUAACCGUCGAAAAGUUUUGUCCCGUUACUUGAUCUCUGAAUGUUUGUUUUUUGUAAUUUUUGACGUAUGCGAUCUUGAAGUAUAUACAAACAUGUUUGACGGUUGGAUCUUUGAAACUAGUUUCGUAGAAUGAGUAUCCCAUCAAAACAAUGGAUUCACUAAUACGUAAUAGUUUAUUCAUACUUUUAUUAAGUAUAAUAUAAGAUUUUGUGGUUUCCACUAGUGUAAAUAUUUUAAAUUGAAGAUCGAAUUCAAUCAUUGUAUUCAUAUAAGGUCAAGGAGUGUAGCUGCAAAAAAUUAUCAAAAGCAGAGUUAAAAUGACCGUUAAAUCGUGAUUUUUCUUUUUAUAACCGUUGAAAAGUUUUGUCCCGUUAAUUGAUCUCUGAAUGUUUGUUUUUUGUAAUUUUUGACGUAUGCGAUCUCGAAGUAUAUACAAACAUGUUUGACGGUUGGAUCUUUGAAACUAGUUUCGUAGAAUGAGUAUCCCAUCAAAACAAUAGAUUCACUAAUACUUAAUAGUUUAUUCAUACUUUUAUUAAGUAUAACAUAAGAUUUUGUGGUAUCCACUAGUGUAAAUAUUUUAAAUUGAAGAUCGAAUUCAAUCAUUGUAUUCAUAUAAGGUCAAGGAGUGUAGUUGUAAAAAAUCAUCAAAAUCGGAGUUAAAUUAACCGUUAAAUCGUGAUUUUUUGUUUAUAACCGUCGAAAAGUUUUGUCUCGUUACUUGCUCUCUGAAUGUUUUUUUUUUGCAAUUUUUGGUGUAUGCGAUCUCGAAAUAUAUACAAACAUGUUUGACAGUUGGAUCAUUGAAACUAGUUUCGUAGAAUGAGUAUCCCAUUAAAACAAUAGAUUCACUAAUAUUUAAGAGUUUAUUCAUACUUUUAUUAAGUAUAACAUAAGAUUUUGUGGUAUCCACUAGUGUAAAUAUUUUAAAUUGAAGAUCGAAUUCAAUCAUUGUAUUCAUAUAAGGUCAAGGAGUGUAGUUGUAAAAAAUCAUCAAAAUCGGAGUUAAAUUAACCGUUAAAUCGUGAUUUUUCGUUUAUAACCGUCGAAAAGUUUUGUCAUGUUACUUGCUCUCUGAAUGUUUUUUUUUUGCAAUUUUUGGCGUAUGCGAUCUCGAAAUAUAUAAAAACAUGUUUGACGGUUGGAUCAUUGAAAAUAGUUUCGUAGAAUGAGUAUCCCAUCAAAACAAUAUAUUCAAUAAUACUUAAGAGUUUAUUCAUACUUUUAUUAAGUAUAACAUAAGAUUUUGUGGUAUCUAGUGUAAAUAUUUUAAAUUGAAGAUCGAAUUCAAUCAUUGUAUUCAUAUAGGGUCAAUGAGUGUGGUUGUAAAAAAACAUCAAAAUCAGAGUUAAAAUGACCGUUAAAUCGUGAUUUUUCGUUUAUAACGGUCGAAAUGUUUUGUCCCGUUACUUGAUAUCUGAAUGUUUGUUUUUUGCAAUUUUUGGCGUAUGCGAUCUCGAAGUAUAUAUAAACAUGUUUGACGGUUGGAUCAUUGAUUCUAGUUUCGUAGAAUGAGUAUCCCAUCAAAACAAUAGAUUCAUUAAUACUUAAUAGUUUAUUCAUACUUUUAUUAAGUAUAAUAUAAGAUUUUGUGGUAUCCACUAGUGUAAAUAUUUUAAAUUGAAGAUCGAAUUCAAUCAUUGUAUUCAUAUAAGGUCAAGGAGUGUGGUUGUAAAAAAACAUCAAAAUCGGAGUUAAAAUGACCGUUAAAUCGUGAUUUUUCUUUUCAUAACCGUCGAAAAGUUUUGUCCCGUUAAUUGAUCUCUGAAUGUUUGUUUUUUUUAAUUUUUGACGUAUGCGAUCUCAAAGUAUAUACAAACAUGUUUGACGGUUGGAUCUUUGAAACUAGUUUCGUAGAAUGAGUAUCCUAUCAAAACAAUAGAUUCACUAAUACUUAAUAGUUUAUUCAUACUUUUAUUAAGUAUAAUAUAAGAUUUUGUGGUAUCCACUGGUGUAAAUAUUUUAAAUUGAAGAUCGAAUUCAUUACUUGUAUUCAUAUAGGGUCAAGGAGUGUAGUUGUAAAAAAUCAUCAAAAUCGGAGUUAAAAUAACCGUUAAAUCUUGAUUUUUCGUUUAUAACCGUCGAAAACUUUUGUCCCAUUACUUGAUCUCUGAAUGUUUGUUUUUUGCAAUUUUUGGCGUAUGCGAUCUCGAAGUAUAUACAAACAUGUUUGACGGUUGGAUCAUUGAAACUAGUUUUGUAGAAUGAGCAUCCCAUCAAAACAAUAGAUUCACUAAUACUUAAGAGUUUAUUCAUACUUUUGUUAAGUAUAACAUAAGAUUUUGUGGUAUCCACUAGUGUAAAUAUUUUAAAUUGAAGAUUGAAUUUAAUCAUUGUAUUCAUAUAGGGUCAAGGAGUGUGGUUGUAAAAAAUCAUCAAAAUCGGAGUUAAAAUGACCGUUAAAUCGUGAUUUUUUGUUUAUAACCGUAAAAAAGUUUUGUCCCGUUACUUGUUCUUUGAAUGUUUGUUUUUUGCAAUUUUUGGUGUAUGCGAUCUCGAAGUAUAUACAAACAUGUUUGACGGUUGGAUCGUUGAAAUUAGUUUCGUAUAAUUCGUAUCCCAUGAAGUUCAAUGGUGUGUGUGUGUAUAUAUAUAUAUUUAUUUAUUAAGUAGAUUUAAAUCUAUUUAUUUUGUAUGUAUAAUUAUUAUAGUUUUUAGGAGUAUAAAAUUUAAUAUAUAUAUAUAUAAUUAUUAUAGUUAAUAUUUUGGGUAUAAUUAUUAUAGUAUAUAUAAUUAUUAUAAUUAUUAUAGUUAAUUUAAUAUAUAUAUAUAUAUAUAUAAUUAUUAUAGUUUUUAAGGGUAUAAAAUUGUUAAAUUAAUAUAUAUAUAUAUAUAAUUAUUAUAGUAUUUUUUUAGGGUUAUAAAUUAUUAAAUUAAUAUUCUGCUUAUCGUGUAUCGUGUUACCCACGUGUAUACCCGAACAAACCCGUUAUCUUAACAGGUGCUUAUCGGGUUACCCGAUAACGACCCGUUUCGUUAUCGUGUCGACCCGAACACCUGUUAAUUUCGUGUCGUGUCGUGUCGGGUUAUCGGGUCGUGUCAGGAAUUGCCAAGCCUAAUAAUGAUUAUGAAUUUUGGUGAUAUUGCAUAUCUGCUUUUUUAACCAUAUUUAUGCAUACUGUUCAUUUCAAGCAUAUCAAUGUGACAGCUAAAUGAUUCAGUUUGCAGAACAUGCUUAAAAAUUAUAGCUUUAACUAAUCACUCAUCUUUCAUCUCUCUCCCUCUCUCUCACUCUUACAGUAAUAUACUGCCGGUUUGCUGGUAAAUCAUUUUUCAUAAAAAGUAUGCAUUUUACUAUUCCUAGCACAAUCAUUUGCAUCAAGUUUCAGCAUUUUGUUCUAAUUUUUUCAAGUUAUUUGGUACAGCUAUUCAUACUCUGAUCACAAUUGCUGAGAGUCUCAAGAGCAAUUGAGUUGCUGUUGAAAAGAGUAAGUUGAUAUUUGACAAGUGUUGUGUUUGAUUUCCAGUACUAUUUUGAUAAACAUAGGCCCUGUUUGGCAGAUCGGAUAGGAUUAGUUAUACGGACGCGGGUGUUUGGCGCUCAAUCGUACUAAAUAAGCGCCAGAUUAAUUUAACCGGUUUGCUUAUUUAAGAGGGUAUAUGCCGGAUUAAUAAAACCAACCAAAAGGCUCGGAUUAUUAGUCGGUCCUCUCGUGAACUCGGCCCUCUCUCUCUCGCCUUCUCUCGGCGUCGUCGUCGUCCUCCCCGUCACCUUCCUCGUCGUCCUCUCCUUGUGGCCUUCCCCGUCACCUUCCCCGUCACCUUCCUCGUCGCCUUCCCCGUCGCCUUCCAUGUCGCCUUCCUCAUCAUCGUUCUCUCGGUGGCGUCGUCGUCCUCUCGCCUUCCCCGUCGCCUCGCUCGUCGUCGUUCUCUUAGCGUCGUCGUCGUCCUCCCCCGCAACUGGGUCUUGCAAAGAAACAUGGUGCGGCGGAAAGAUGAUUUCAAUUUGGGAUUCUUCUGCAGUCGGGGAAGAAGAAGGGAGAGAGAGGGAGGGAAUUUGGGGUGUGCGGCGGAGAGAUCUGGGAAAAAAGUGAUGGUUUCAGUUCAUUUUUUUUUAAUUUUAUUUUUAGUUUUGAUUUCUCCUAUAAUAACAAACACAAUAUAAAUAAUACGAUCAUUAGUCCGAUACUGCACCAAACGCCUGACUAAUUUAGUCAGUUACUAUCCGAUGGCUAUUUAUCCUAUCCGACAGAAAUAGUCAGUACAGUCCGAGUUGCCAAAUGAGGCCAUAAUGGUUAAUGUUGUGGGGCUACUACUGGAACAGCCAUAAGCACCUCUACUGUUGUCUCGAAGCUGGAUGGCGAAGAUGGACGGAUUGUGUUGAAGGCUCAGGUUCGUUAUUUCCUUUUGAUUUUACUGAUCAAAGUUGUUAUGUUACUCACUGAUGGACUUUUGUAAUAAUUAUGUGUUCCUAAUACUAAAAUUGUCCCUCUUUCUGUGUCAUAGUUGGUGAUUUUGUUGGGAAAGGCUGAAGAAGUCGAGGAGACUGCAGUUCCUGUGGUUGCAGCGUGAAGGCAUAUGUGAUUCAGCAGAGUUUGAGUUGAAACUUGGAUGAUGAGUAGUAGCUGGGUAAUUCAUUAGAAUAAUAAGGAUGUGUAAAUGAGAAACAGGUUUAGCACUUUGCUUCCUAAUGCAUGUUUUCUUACAUGCCCUUUGAUAUAAAUAAUGAGAUUUUUUGCAGCUCACAGCUCUCUCUCUCUCUCUCUCUCUCUAAGGAUGUAUAUAUGGGAGACAUGUUUAGCACUUUGCUUCCUAAUGCAUGUUUUCUUACAUGCCCUUUGAUAUAAAUAAUGAGGUUUUUUGCAGCUCACAUCUCUCUCUCUCUCUCUCUCUCUCUCUCUCUCUCUCUCUCUCUCUCUCUCUCUCUUUCUCUCUUUCUCUCUUUCUCUCUUUCUCUCUCUCUCUCUGUCUCUGUCUCUGUCUCUGUCUCUCUGUCUCUCUCUCACUCUCUCUCAGCUCACACACGCACACAGAAACUACCACAUUGUUAGAAAAACUGAAGAAGCACUAGAAUUUAGUGAGUCUGAAACGUUGAGGUUGACAUUUAGGGUUCUCUUUCUUUUAGAGGCUGGAAGAUAUCUGGAUAUGCUUCAAAUUUCAAUUUUUGUGGCCAGAUUUUAGUGACCUGUACGGUUUGUGUUGUGCUAAAAGCAUGAUUGUUUAUGUUGGAGUGGUUUUAAGGGAAUGUCCAACUGAGUUGGGCAGUUUUUGUUCAUUCUGUUAAGGUGAGCGUCUUUGGAGGUAUUGUGGGUAUAUUGUCCGAAUUGGGGUUUUUAAAGUUGAAAUUCAAUCUGGGAUUCUGAAUUUUUUUUACAACUUAGUAAUUUGUGGAGUUAUUCUUAGUUUUUAUCAAGAAAUUUGAUUUAGGUUUCAUAUAUUUUGUGAAAUUAGAUACUUUUUUGUGAAGAUUUUUUUUAAUAUAUUGUUGUGGUAGUUAAGGUAAUUUACGCGUUUGAAAAAGCUCGAGAGUUGAAUGUGACAAAGUAAGCAGAUCAGCAUGUAAACCUGAAACCAAGAAGCUCAAACCCCGAGAAUUCGAUGGUUAGCCCUGUUUUCAGAUUUGUUUGCUUCAGUUAAUUUUGUUGUAAAUUAAUUAAUAACAUAUUAGAGCGAAACCCUGUUGGUUAUUGUGCUUUUUUAUAUAGGUAAUUAUAUGUAUUUUCUCUUCUUUGCAUUUAGCAGUAAUUAACCUUAAUUAUGUGACUCAAAAUCUGGGGCAGCUUCUGGACCUUAUUCUCAGGAAGGUAACAUUUUUAAUUAUUUUCCUUAUCAUUUGAUUGGGUUUUUAGUUGACGAUUUCAAUUUGGUGCCAUUAAGCUAUCACCCUCAGACCUCAAAAUUCAGGUAACCCCAUGAUUUUAAUAUUGCUUCUCCUGUUUUAUCUAAUUAUUGUUCUAUGAAUUGUAUUCUUUAGUUAAAUAAUGAUUAAUUAGAAUUUCUAGGAAAAAAACUCAGGCAUUGUAGUGUUUGAAAUGAUAAAUAUAAAUCCAAUUUGGCCAUUAGCCAGUCAGAGAACCUAAUUUGGGAAGUAGGUUUUAAAGUUUCAAUAGUUUCGUUGUGUGUAAUUUUUUGUGCUUUGCCUACCGGGAAUCUAAUAACCAAAGGCUUGCUUAUGUUUCUCAAAUGGUUUUUAACUGUAUGUUUCGUUUCUUUACUAUUUUCAGAUGAUAUAAAUGAUCAGUUCUGUGAUGCUGUUAAGAAAUGAAUUUUGUGAUGCUGUUAAGAAUAAAGGAUCUAAUAUAUUUGAUUUGUUGUCUACAGAGAACCAAGGAACUUGAUAGCACAGAUUUACUAAGUCAAUUACCUGCUUUGCGAUAGCUUCUUUCUCCCUUCUUGAUUGCCAGGUGUGGAUCCAUGCAUUUUACUUAUAUUUUUGUAAUUUAAUUAUCCUCUUUCUCCCUUCUUUAGUGUUUGAUCCUGAAAUUAAUUUGUGUGAGUCCUGAUCUCUGUAAUUUUGUGUAAAAUUCAAUGACUUUACCUUUUCUAAUGCCUUUUUAUUUUCUAUUUUUGUCUUUGAGCUUCUGCUUUUUGGGCAUUUUGGGUUCUAUUUUUCUAUUUCCCAGUCGACUGGAAAUAUUGAGGGGAGGGAGAGAGAAAUUGCUCUGCUAUAACCAUGCUUCUAUAUUUCUUACGGGUUGGUAUAUUUGAUAAUUAGAAAUGACAGCUUUACUUGAUUGAUGUUUUAUUUUUCUGUAUUCAAUUUAAGGUACUAUGAAUUGGGACCCGACAAUCCACCAUACGCUGCCAAGUUCUACAACUGUUGUGGGGCUGCACUUCCAGUUUCCAUGUUUUGUAUGAUGACGAUUGAUCCAUGUAAUAUCUCUAUUUUAAGUUUCAUCAUUUCAUUCAGUCUUGCUCUUGCACUCUAACCAAGCUUCUGUAUCUCCAAUAAUUUCAUCUCUUUUGUAUAAAAAUGAAGUUGAUGCGUAAUUGGGUUUUUUUCUUAAGGUAUGUUUUUUUUUUUCAUUAUCGAAUUAAUCUUUCCUGCUGUUGUUUAUAUAAUUCUGAGGGGAGAGAGUUAAUGGAAUGGGGGUAAAAAAAAUCAAGGGAAGGAAAGGGAAAGAUGAGUGCAUGGGUUGGCCUGAGUUUUUUUUAAUUGGUUUGAGAUUUUGUUUACGUUUGGGGGUUCUUUUGCCCUAACAUUGUUUUGAAUUCAUAUAGAAUUUUGUUUAUGUUUGGGGUUGUCAUGUUCGUGUAUUUAAUUUGGUGUUUGGUAGUUUACAUUAUAGUUGUCGUCGGUUUUCUUAAAGGAUAAAUCCAAGCGAUUUUCUGAUGUAUGUGCAAAUGUUAACACUUUGUAGAUUUUUAGUUUUUAAACAAUAAGAUAAUGCAACCGUUCAGAGUGAGGGGAAGAAUAUAGGUGGAGGAGAAUUAUGUCUUUCAAUGGAAAUGCCGCAUUCAUAUUUUUGUAAUUGGUUACAGGGUUGAAAAAACAGUUGAGCGCUGUUGUUUGUGUCUUGAUAAUUUUGUCAAGUUUUAAAAACAGUGAAAAGAAAUUAAUUUUAUGAGGUAAAGCAAGCUUUUAACAAAAAAUGCUACUGCACAAAUGUGAGCUUUUGGACUGAUUAUGUUUUGUAAAAAAAAAAAACUUUAAUAUUUCUUAGAAUUAUGUUUUUUUUUUUUUUUUUUCAGUUAUGCAUUGCUUUGAAUGAUUUUUUUUUUUUUUUUUUUGUAACUCCGCCUAUGUACUUACAUUGCCGGUCCCAAACCCGGAUAAAGGAGGAGGGGGAGGGCGUCAGGUAGUCGACAACCGGCACUCCAUGAUCACGUCGAAUCCUUAUGAAAAUGAAUUCAGAACAAAAAUUCGAAGUGUGGAAAGUUUUGGGAGAGACAGGUAUAACAUGGCUCACUGACCUUUUCAAUAGGAUUUUGAAAACGAAGAAGAUGCCAAAUGAGUGGCAAACGAGCACUUCCUCAAAAAUCGAAGAGACACUGCUCUCCGAAUCUCGAGAGCCAGACCCCCAGCAUGAUUGCUUUCUCAAAAAUCGAAGAGGCAUCGUUCUCCGAAUCUCGAGAGCCAGAUACCACAGACCACUUUUUCAAAGUGCUCUGACAGAGUUAAAACAUGUGAAACUGGCAGCUCCCACUACCGUGCCAUGACCAAGUAGGGUAAAUGAAUAGCAUUACUACUUGUUGUUAAGGAGACUCCUAUAUAUGUCGACCUCCAUCCCCAACGGACAGGCAGACCUGCAAAAAUGCUCAACUUCCUCAUAUCUGAGAGGGCACUCCCAACGAAGCCUUUCGAAAUAUUCAGCUUUCUUUCCCCCCGAUAAUACCUCUGCAAACAAGCUAUACUAGAGCAAGAAUAUCUCAUAUCAUCAGGGUUAAAAGCAAGAGUAUCCCAUAUCAUGCUUUUUCCCUGUCUUUUCCUUUGACCUUGUUCUUACCUGCAAGACAAGGAGAAAGAGAGCAAUCAGUCAGUACUUGGAAUCAAGCUUCCAGCCAGGAACUGACUGCCUGGAACCCCUUACCUGAUUACUUACCUGACAUUGCUCUCGAGUACUCAUCUUCAACAUCUUAUGCUUCCAGGGAAGAUACCGCAUCUGCCUGAGGAACAGAUAGGGCAAGGGAGAAGGAUACACGGAAGCAUGUGGAGACAAGCGUAACAGCACACGUGCCGAUACAUCCAUUACUCUGUCAAAGCAAAAGUAUCCCAUAUCAGCAGGGUCGAACGUACUCUAGAUUUGAUGGACUUGUUUUGACCCUCAAAUUCUUCAAUCGGCCUUAUACUCUGGAGGAAACUAGAAACCCUCCAGCUCAGUUCAAGAAUAAGCCUGUGGAAAGUUACUUCUUCAAAAGCAAAAGUAUCUCAUAUCAUCUCUUCUCAUUUUCUUCUCUUUAUCCUUCAUGCUGCCUGCAAGAUAGGGAGACUGUGAACAAUCAGCCGGAGCUAUGAUUGCUUACCUUGUCUGUCACCUCUUUCAGCAUAUCCCCUAGCUCGGCGACUUGGGGGACUCCUACUACAUGGUUUGUAUCGCGCUUGACCAAGCUUGAUACUACAAGUAAGCUUCAAGUGAAAUUGAUACAUUACCUUGUGCAUCUCCACCAGUUAAAGAUACCACCCCUGGAUGGAGGAAGAGUACUUCCAGAGAAGAUGCCCCAUCUACCUAUGAGACAGAUAAGGCACGUCAAGACGAUACCACACUCCGAUACUUAGAAGUUUCGUGAUUACGAGAUCAUUCUCCCACAAUAUUUCCUAAUGUCAUUUGUACUAAAUCAUUCACUUGUACUCACUAAAGGAGAGCUUGAACCUAUGUACUUGUGUAAACGCUUCACAAUUAAUGAGAACUCCUCUAUUCCGUGGACGUAGCCAAUCUGGGUGAACCACGUACAUCUUGUGUUUGCUUUCCUAUCUCUAUCCAUUUAUAAACUUAUCCAUACUAAUGACCGGAGCAAUCUAGCGAAGAUCACAAAAAGCGACCGUUUUCGCUACCUAAGAUCUAUCGUGCAAGAGAACGGAAAAUUAGAUGGAGAUCUCAACCAUAGAAUACAAGCUGGAUGGAUGAAGUGUAAGAGUGCAUCCGGCGUAUUGUGUGACCGUCAUAGGUCACUGAAGCUCAAGGGAAAAUUUUAUAGGACGGCAAUAAGGCCAGCGAUGUUGUAUGGCACAGAAUGUUGGGCGGUGAAGCAUCAACACGUACAAAAAAUGGGUGUGGCGGAGAUGAGGAUGCUUCGUGGGAUGUGUGGGCACACGAGAAAGGAUAAGAUUGGGAAUGAGGAUAUCCGAGGUAAAGUAGGAGUAGCCGAAAUUGAAGGAAAGAUGAGAGAAAAUCGGUUCCGGUGAUUUGGACAUGUGCAAAGAAGGCCUACUGACGCUCCGGUUCGAAGAUGUGACUACUGGACAGAGGUUCAGGGCCGAAGGGGUAGAGGAAGACCUAGGAAAACUUUGGAAGAGACUCUAAGAAAAGACUUAGAGUACUUGGAUCUAACGGAGGACAUGACACAAAACCGAGCGCAAUGGCGUUCUAGGAUUCAUAUAGCCGACCCCACUUAGUGGGAAAAGGCUUUGUUGUUGUUGUUACUUUUACUAUUUUGUGUAUUUAAUUUCUAUCUUCAUUUUCUGCUCAGAUUAUUAUGAGCUGCAAAGUACUGUUGGCGAAAUAGGAAAAAAAAAAAAAAGGAAAGGUGAGUCGGGCUGUUAAAUAGUGUAAAAUUUUGAGUUUACAAAUUUUUUUUAGUCAUAUUAAUAAUUGCUUUUGCAUAUAUAUAUAUAUGCUGGUAUGCUUCAUGAGGUGACCUUGAAACUUUAUUUGACAAACACAUAUCAAUGCAAGUGAGGAAGGAUGUGUGGAGCCAAAUGAAUAAGACAUACGAAAAUGGUUGAAAGGUUUCAGAGACAGUGGGUAUAUAUUCCUAUAUUUGAGUUGGUUUGAAACUUUUUCUUUGACGUUCAUCCUUUUGUAGGUUUCUUUCGUUUCUAAGACAUUUUUAUAAUUGUGAGACAAUGUAUUGGGCCUGACAACCACUGUUGGGGACUCAUUUUAGAAAUGUUGAGUGUGUUUGAUUGACAUAGUUUCUUAUCAAGAUUUCUUAAGUUCUUUUCUGUUAAUUAGUACUGUAGUAGUUGUACAACUUUGUGGAUUUUAGUUAAAGAGAAACUACCAAUUCUGAUUGCAAAAUCAGACAUAAGAAAGGGUAAAUAUGGUUCUGAAGUAACUGAAGAACUUUCUGUAUUUCCAUACAGCUAAUUAUGUGAUUUAUUGUGAUGCAGGAAAACCAUUCAGAGGAAUCUUAUAACUUGGCAUGUAUCCUCACCCUCCCUCCAUAUCAAAGAAAAGACUAUGGAAAAUUUUUAUUGCCUUCUGUAAGCUUUGCACUUACUUUCUUUAUUCGUUUUGGCGUAGUUUUCUCUGUCUCCGUUCUGUCUUGAUGAUUGAGUUCUGCUUUACUAUUGAUAGUCCUUGCAAUAUUUUUGAAUUGUGUUGAACCCAGACAUCUAUUAUAGGUAUAUGCCCCAUUAAGGUUUUUAAAAUAUUAUUCUAUAGUCCUGCAAUGAGAUGUAGUUGUAGAUUGUGGAAGAUCGUAUUAGGCUAAAAUUUCAUUAUAAAUACUGUAUAGUAUUAUCUAAAGCUCUCUAACUAUUCAAUUGUUUCAGCCGUAAAAAAUUGAUUGAUUAGAAGAACUGCAAACCUCAAAUUUCCUUCAUAUUUGUUUAUUUGAUGUUGUUUUUCCAUAUAAAUCUUCUCUUGCAAAGAAAUUCAAAGGGCUCUAAUUGUAUUCAUGGACUCUAUAACCUGCUAUCCAACUAUUCCCUGUACUAAAUCUUCAAACCCUUCAUAUAAAUGGACUGAUCUUUUCUGUUUUCUCCACUUCUGUGCUCACCAAUUUCGGUGGUUUUGUUUUGCUCCAUAUAGAUAAACUUGAUUGAAAUAUAUAGUCUUCGCAUGUUCUCACCCGAUUUGUGUGCAUGCAAAUACUUGCUAUAGGUAUGGGUUUUGGAAAUUUGCCAAGUUUACUGUGUUUCAAAAUUUCGAUUUUAAAAAUUUCGGUAUCUUGAUGAUUCUUUUCAGAUUUGUGGGUAGUUUAGAAUUUAGUUUGAGAGGUUGUGAUGGAAGUCGAAAUGUUUCUUUGUUGUGUUUAUGUAUUCUUUGAGUUGGUUGAUACAGUUAAAUUUAUCUCUGAAUCAGUUUUGAUAAAUGUUUGUCAGACGCUCGAAAUGCUUGAGAAAAAAUGAGAGUACUACAGAAGGCUGCUGCAAAAGGGUAAGAAUAGCUGCCGAGAGCUACUACAAUUUUUGUUAAUUAAGGGUCGGCAACUUACUUCGGCAUUUGUAAUCAUCAAUUCUUGACUCAAGCAUUACUUAUGAAGAGUGAAGUUGUAUAACUUUUGGAGUUAACAUUUUGAGAAAUAGCUUUAAAUUUUUGUUUUCAUUUUGCUGAUUUUCGAAGUGGUUGUGGGAAACGGUUCUUUUGAACCAGAUUAAUUGAUUUCACUGAUUGCAUUUUGAUUGUGUUUUUGAAUUUUGGGAGUCGAUCUUAAAAUGUGGUGGGCUUUUGAGGAAUUCGGGGUUUUUCCAAAUCUGAAUUUGGUACGUGUGUGUUGUGCUGAGGUUGAAUUUGAAUUUUGCAGUCUGGUUUUUUAUCAGCUCACUUCACCCAUCUCUUGGUUAUUUGAAUUAUUUAGAGAUGCCUGUAUUGAUUUGUGAUUUGUUGGAUUUACUCUGAUUAGGACGUGACUCCAUUCGUGUCGCCUUUGUAAUGCAUCUUUCUGUGCAAAUUAUUCACGCCUAUUAUGGCUAAUAGUUUCAAAACCCGCAGCGAAGGGCGGGCAUUUUUUCUAGUAUAAUCUAAUACUGCAUGAAAGUAAUAAGAAAUAUAAAUAUAUACUAACAACAUGCUUGAGUCCUCUUAUACAGGAACCUCUAUUAAAUAUCAGAAGUAAUAUUUAGUAAGUAACAAUUGUAUAGCUUUAGUCUUGUAACAAAUGCAAUCGAGCUGCUCUCUAAUUGAAAAUCUAGUAGCCAUGCAUCUUUGCUAAUAUGUAAAUAUAAACCACCAGAAGCUUAGGGUUUGUUUGGUUGUGCUUUUGAAAGAGUCAAAAGCGCUUCCUAAUGAGUAAAAGCGCUUUAGUUUUAAAAAAUGGUCGUUUGGCAAAUAUUUUAAAAGUGCUUUUAGUUAGAAAUAGAAGCACUAAUAAGCAUUUUCUAAGAAGCACCUAGGAGGUGCUUCCUCCUAAAAGUGCUAUGCAGAGAAAACAAGGGAAGCACUUUGCUCCCUUUAAUGAAUUUUUUUCAAUUCCCGAAUUAUCCCUAUUUUUUAAUUUGCAAAGUCUAAAAUGCCAUUACACUUGAAAAAACAUCAAAAUUGACAUCACCAAUUUUUUAUAGGUUUGCACGUUAAAAACCUAGAAGUCUUUUAUUUUCAUAAUAUUUUGGUGGCUGGAGAAGUCAUCUUGGUCUCCAUCUCUUCCUCUCCAUCUUCCCCAAAUCUCCAUCACCUAAAAUUCUUUGUGGAGGUAUGUUUGCUAUUUCUUAUCUUAAAAUUUGUAUGUAGUGUGUGAAUUUGAUUGUUGAUAUGUUAUUUUUAUCAAAAUUGUUGUGAUUUUUGAACUACACGAAAAUAAUUUUAGGGUUUAUUGAUCGUUCAUUGAUAUUCCAAUGGUAUUUUCUGCAUUUUUUUCAUGAUAUUUCUAAUUUUCCUGAUUCAUUCUCUGAUGAGCAAAUUAUAUAUGUUGCCUAUCCAGUUAAUUAACUCUAACAGCAACUUAUUAAAACGCUCAUGAUCAAACUAACACAAGUAAAACCAUCUCCAGUUUCCUAUCAUUGAUCGAGAUGUUUACAGAGGAUGCAUGUGCUACAGUUUGUUAUAAUUUUUUUGUUCGAUUUCUAGCAACAUAUAUUGUAUGCUAAUUAUAUACAAAAAAUACUUAUGCAAAAAUUAUUGAGAAUUAUUAAUGAAAGCGAUUUUCAUUUGACAACCAAACACUCUAUUUAAUAUCAAAAACGCUUCUAUCCAAUACAAAAACGCUUAGUUGGUUGCAUGCCAAACAACAAACUACUUCCUCAUAGAAGCGCUAUUGAAAAGUGCUACAAACAAAAAGCGCUAGUGAGUAAAAGCGCUUUAUAGAGUAGCACAUCCAAACGAGCCCUUAGUGUUUGUAUACAUGUAGUAGCUUUGGAAAGACUAAAGGAAGUAUGAGAAUCCGGUUGCAGGUUUGACACAUGAAUUCACGCUUUUGUCCGAUGGUUUGGAUCAACCUCCGUCUCUUUCUCCUAGUCCGGUUGCAGACAAGGAAGCAUGAAAGGUAUUUCCUAUUUUUUUGCUACGAUGAGGAGCUCCUUCUUAUCUGAUGGCUUUAUAGAAUUACAUUUUCCUUGACUUCAUAGAACUUUCUACUUCUUAGACUAAAAAUAAAACCAUUAGUUUUUUAUCCGUGGAGUUCCAUAAAAUUCUACGAAGUUAAAUUCUGCAUAUCCAUUUCGAGUGUAAACCUUUUAGAUGAAAUAUAGAAUUAAUGCAACUAAAAUAAAUAAAAAGCAGAAUAGUAAAUGAUCAUUUAUCACAGUGGUGGAAAUGUGUUGUGCCUUUGCAUGAUGACUUGGAUUUGAUCCCGUCGGUUGCUAUCUAACAUCUAACUUACUAACACUAUCACUCUCGUAAAAAAAAAAAAAAAAAGCAGAAGAGGAACUUGCAGCUGUAAGCUCUCUGAUUCUGUGGGCUUUGGAUAUCCAUACUUUGCGACGGCAUAGUUUCGCGGUACGGAACGGCGGCCAAUGAAAAGGCGUUGAUAAAGAGACUAUGGAAAGAACUCGGGGAAGGACCAGAUCCUCGCCGGAUCAUUCCCUAGGGAUCCUAAGGAUCCCACAAUCCUAUCCGUUCAUCGUAUAUCGCGGUCAGAAAUCAUUUAAAUUUUCAAUUUUAAAAUUCAAAAGUAAAUAGUACCUAACGAAAACUGACCGAACGAUACAUAAUGAACGGAUAGGAUUGCGGGAUCCCUAGGGAAUGGAUCCGGCGAGGAUCCUGGUGCCUCGGGGAAAAGAGAAAAGCAGAGGAAAAGAAUUCCUCGCCAGUCCCACUACAAACCAAUCAUCCAAUUAAAAUUCUCUAGAAAUUUAAAAUUACAAAAAUGCCCAUGCAUUUAAAGUCCCGCAAAAGCUUCAUUUUAAGUCAAAUUUUUAGCCGUAUCCCUUUCCACCUAAUCUACCAAAUCUGUGAUCCAGACCAUUGAAAUUUGAUCCAACGAUUACAGUUAUUAUAACUUUAAAGGGGCUCUCUGUUUGUAGUCGUUUGAUCAAAUUUCAAUGGCCUAGAUCACGGACUUGGUGAAUUAGGUGGAAAGGGAUCCAGAGAGAAUCCCUAUCCAAAUUUUCAUUAUUAUGUUUGUGUCACGUGUUCGUAAUAACGAGUAUUAUAAGAAUAUAAGAAUAUAAUAAUUAAUAUGUCACGCGUGUACCAAAAAGUCAACGAAAGCCAACACAUACAUAUUAGGGGCAUUUUGGUGAUUUUCCAAGUUGAGGAUUUGAAAUAUCUUAUAUUUAGGAACGGAUCGCAACAUAAAUUGUAACAUCCACAUCGUCCAGGGGAGUGGAUCCUCUAAGCCUUAUAUGUAUAUUCUCAUCUCUACCUAGCAAGAGACCUUUUGGGAGCUCACUGGUUUUGGGUUCCAUCGGAACUCCGAAGUUAAGCGAGUUCGCGUGAGAGCAAUCUCAGGAUGGGUGACCCACUGAAAAGUUCUCGUGUGAGUUCCCAGAAACAAAACCGUGAGGGCGUGGUCGGGGCCCAAAGCGAACAAUAUCGUGCUACGGUGGAGUCGAGCCCGAGAUGUGGUGGUGGACCGGGGCGGGGAUGUGACAUAAAUGAAGGCAAUAAUUAAUCAAUAAAAUCAGUGCAUCCUAGGUGCAAUUCGUUUACAUAUUUACACUAUAUACUUCAUUAUGUAAGGAUUGCAAAAAUAACAUUGGAUUGCAAGAAAUGUUGUAUAAAGAGAUUUUGCUGCAUCUAAUUUAUGGAUGCAAUUUUUUGAAAUUUUAGAACUUUAUGUGACAUGAUGAUCUCCUCCCUUCUGUGUUUGUAAUUUGUCUUAUAAGUGUAAUUUUUUUUUUCAUUUUGGGUCAAUGUAUCAAGACAUAACAUCAUUUGGUCAUAUGUCAUCAUCAAAAACUUUAUCUCAUGUCAUAAAUUUAACAUUAACAUCAUUUUUGUUUACUCAUUAAUCAAACAUAUAAAAAAUUAUUGAUAAAAAAAAUUUCUUUCACAUGCCUAAUUGUCACAGCCCGUCCCAAAGUUUUACACUCGUGAUUGUAAAUUGACGGAAUUUCCCUUAAACGUGAUUAAGAUAUGUGAAUCAUAUAUUGGUGAAAUAUAUGUUAAGUUAUUUGGAGAUGGAAUUUUGUGAUUUGGGGUUAGGUAGGACCACACACCUCAUAUCCCUCCCUAUUUCGCGUACCCUGUCUCUCUCUCCUCCCUCACAAUCUCUCAUUCUCUGUCUCUCUCCCUCUCCUUCGAACUCACACAGACGAGCUCCAAAACCACCCUAAAUCUAUACCAACGACGGAGUUAAGACCACCAUCAAACUCCUGGAACCUCCACGAUCACGAUGGUAUCCAUUUCAGGUAAGUUUUGCUUCGGAAAAUCCUAGUUUCAAAGUUCCCGUGAAAUGGUACUGUUCAUAAUCUUCUAAAUGACUACGUUUUAGGCUAAAACAAGAUCACAGCGAGCUUAGUGAGGUCCCAAGGAAGCUCGGAGUGCUUCGUUGGAAGUUUUUGGACGUAAGAACACGGAGAUCGAUAAGUUCAAAGUUUGGCCGAAGCUUUCGAGGCGUUUUCCGGCGAAUCCCCGGCGAGUUAGGAGUCAAGGUAGGUAUCAAUCUCUUCGUCUCGUCAAGUACUACAACUUUUCUUUUUGUUUCACUCAAUUUCGUUGAGUAUUGAAGAAGUUAUACUCAUUUGAAAAAUACCAGUUUCCGGCGACCUCCGAGGCUUUCGAGGCAGUUUCCGGCCAAACCACGGCGAACUAGGUGUUGUGCAAGGUACCAUUCUCUUUGUCUCUUCAAGGGCUACAACUUUCGUUUUUGAAUCACUUGAUUUCGUUGAGAAAUGACAAAGUUAUGGCAAUUUGAAAAACUGCCCAGAAAACGGCCGCCGGAAAAACCAGUCCGGCGACCCAAGGAAGAAGAAGGUGCUACAGUAAAAAUAAAAAUAAAAUUAUUUUAAAAAUAUGUCGACGUCCGUGACGUCGAGUAGAUCACUGUGGUAUAUUCAUAUACCUAAAUUGAACACCGUAUGAGAAAGUUAUUGAGGAUUGUUGGUUAGGUGUUCGAAUAACGUUUUAUAGUUUUCACAUUAGGUGAAAAUGUGAAUUGAUGAUCCGACCGUUGGAUCAUCACCAAACUUUGAUACGUUGUAAUACGUAAUAUUUGAGGAUUAUUGGAACUUACGGAUUGGGAAUCCGAGUUACGGAUCUUUCGGAAUUGGAAUUGUAAGUUCAUAAAAUAAAAUGUUAACCGUCACUUAGUUUUGGAAAUUGACGGAGAUCCGACCGUUGGAUGGUAAUGAAAUUUUAGGAUGUUGUACUAGAGGUAUAAUGUGGACCUCUGGAAGUUAUGGAUUUAAAAUCUGAGUGGCAGAUCUUCCGGAUCGAUCAACGUAGUGACGUAUUUUAUAUAAGUUAUAUAUUCUAUCGAUAUGAAUUCUGAGCCUGGAAUUGAUUACUAUUCUAGGCGGCGAUCGUCAUGACGCCUUGAUGUGUGGUGCUAGGGAGUUGUUGGACGAACUCCAGGUGAGUGGACAAUUUUGUUUUCCGUAUAUAUAUAUACUUGACGUUUCCCAGAAAUUGAAUUGAAAUGAAAAUAUGUUUAAAAUGAAAUGUAUAUGAGUUAUGUGGAAAAACGGGAAGUGAAAUACCAUGCAUAGAAUUGAUAUGAAAAGUAUAUAGAAAUGUGAAUCGAAUUGCCAUGCAUGAAAUGAUAUGAAAAGUAUGAAUUGAGAUAUGAUGCAUAUGAAUGAAUGGUGCGGCGGACGCACAGGUGAGUAUCAGGUGAGUAUUUAAUUACUGUUAUGAUGAUGUUGAUAUAUAUUGAGCUCAAAUCCUGCACCAUGGUUUAGUGCUUAUAGUAUUCACCGCAUCGCACGCUCGCCUUGGAUCCAAGUAGAUGCUAGUCGUACAGUCCACGCGGAGUGGGUACGACAGGCCAGUCGCGAGAGUGUUAGUGAGAUUCCGACUGGUGGGUGACCUUAGAUUAUGUGCACAGAUGAUUUAUGAGAAGCACUAGAGCGUAACUUGUGUGCAGAAGGCCGGACGGGUCACAGAGGUGACUCCGGUAGAGUGAUAGUGAUAGAUUUUGAGCUCUAGGUUCAACCGUACAGGGCUAUUAGAGGGCCUACGGUUGAUUACUUUCUUGCACCUGAUAUGAUUAUUGUUGAUGCAUCCAUACUUAACUAUUGAAUUAGACAUGGCAUGGCAUGAUUGAUAAAGAAAAAUGUUGAGAUAGUAAAAAUGAAGUUUUGAGAAUAUAUAUGUAUAUUUAUAUUUUACAUUUCUGGGAAAGUAUACAGGUUUUACGGAGAGGGGUUACAACGUUUUGAGAAAUGUUUGGAUUUUGAAAAGAAUUGUUUUACUGACCCACUCAAUUUUGGUUUUGCGCCCCUCCAGGUUCAAGAAUCACAAAGGUGUGGUGACUACGAGGAAUUCGACGGUGUUCUGACAGAUUGGACAAAAUUAGGACUCACCUUCGGGUGUAUCAACUUAUAAAUUGUAUCUUAAAGCUUCCGUACUGUGUAAAUGGUUACGUCACUCUCACGUGACGGCCAGCAUGCCCUCCUUCGGGACGGGGUGUGUCAGUCGACCUUAGAUUAUGUGCACAGAUGAUUUAUGAGAAGCACUAGAGCGUAACUUGUGUGCAGAAGGCCGGACGGGUCACAGAGGUGACUCCGGUAGAGUGAUAGUGAUAGAUUUUGAGCUCUAGGUUCAACCGUACAGGGCUAUUAGAGGGCCUACGGUUGAUUACUUUCUUGCACCUGAUAUGAUUAUUGUUGAUGCAUCCAUACUUAACUAUUGAAUUAGACAUGGCAUGGCAUGAUUGAUAAAGAAAAAUGUUGAGAUAGUAAAAAUGAAGUUUUGAGAAUAUAUAUGUAUAUUUAUAUUUUACAUUUCUGGGAAAGUAUACAGGUUUUACGGAGAGGGGUUACAACGUUUUGAGAAAUGUUUGGAUUUUGAAAAGAAUUGUUUUACUGACCCACUCAAUUUUGGUUUUGCGCCCCUCCAGGUUCAAGAAUCACAAAGGUGUGGUGACUACGAGGAAUUCGACGGUGUUCUGACAGAUUGGACAAAAUUAGGACUCACCUUCGGGUGUAUCAACUUAUAAAUUGUAUCUUAAAGCUUCCGUACUGUGCAAAUGGUUACGUCACUCUCACGUGACGGCCAGCAUGCCCUCCUUCGGGACGGGGUGUGUCACUAA